Molecule: long non-coding RNA, 52799 nt
Filed under: Musa acuminata (dwarf banana)
Lineage: Eukaryota; Viridiplantae; Streptophyta; Magnoliopsida; Zingiberales; Musaceae
Description: long non-coding RNA (MACU_LNC005093)
Source: RNAcentral
GUUCCUAAGCUAAUAUGCCGAACCUUGUGGUGUGAUGUUGUGGAUGAUCAUCUAGCAAUUGCUCUUGGAUAAUACUGACCUUUUAUCCGAACCUUUCAUUUCCUGUUCACUGCAUGUUAGGAAAUGUGUUGGGGCUUUGAGAUCGUUACAGCUUUCGAAGACUCCGUGUGACUACAUCCAUCGUGUGAUUAGGAACUUGCAUGAGUAAUAUAAACUAAUGUUCUAAGAGCACAACAAUACUCUGCUCUAGUCCAGCUUUGUUCAUCAUAUACCAACAUAGUUAGGCUUCAUAACUUAAACAUGGAUGCAUGACAAAGGGCCGGAUUCAGAUAAUUAAGGCUUAACAUAAAAAAUAAUAAGCCCAAUCUCCACUGAGUUAUUAGUGAUUACACAAUUUAUUCAAAUCUGGUUACGACAUGCACUGAAACGAAGCAACAGAACCAUGGAAUCCUUUAGAUCCAUGCUGGAAGUUCUUCUCAUGGCUUCGGCAACUUGGUCCUACAUUCUAGACUUGGCCAGCACAAUGCCAUUGGCAUCAGACAUGCUCAAGACUCCAUUUUCAGUCCAUGUUUCUUGGAAUUGUUCCUCGGUGACACCUGCAAACGAUAGAUCAAUUAAAGUUUGUCGCCCAGAAAUGGUAAGUAUUGUCUGACAGAAAUGAAGAGGCAAUUAACUUGCCUUUGCCCAUGGCUGCGGUGGAGGUGAUCCCACCCUGCACGGUCUUCAGCACCUUGUCAUAGUAACUAGCACCGGACCAUCUCUGGUGAGCCAAAGUGUCCACCCCGUUGUUCCUCUCCUGCCUCUGAAUCCUCUCCACAUAGGCCAACAUCCCCCUCCUGGCGAAGUCCCUGGCAAAGGUAUCCACCACCAGUGCAUCAGCAUGGAACCCGGCCAGUGUUAUGAACUGCCAGCAGAAGCCCAGCUUCGCGAUCCGAGGAAUGAAGUCCCUCAUCUGGUCAUCGGCCAUGCCCGAUGCGUCCCAAUUGAACGACGGCGAGAGGUUGUAGGCCAGCAUCGUCUCCGGGUGCUUCGACUUCACUCCCUCGGCGAACCUGGUGCAUUCAACCAAGUCGGGGCUCGACGUCUCCAUCCAUAUCAGGUCGGUGUGGGGUGCGAAAGCCCAGCCCCUGACAACCGCCGCCAUGACUGAGCCUUUGAACCUGUAGAAGCCGUCUCUGGUCCUGGGCAAGUCCCAGUCCCAGAAGAGGUUCUCAAGGCCGAGCCUCGCAGCUACGUCCCUCCCUUGCUCAUAGGACAGGCACUUAUCAUAACCCGAGCGAUUCGCCCAUUCGUCGAGUCUUUGGCGCUUCUCGUCUUCGCGGAUGUUGAGGCUGUUGAUUGCGUCCUCGACGCACUCGGAGAAGGUCUUUAGUUUGGCCAUCGACAGCCACUCGUCCUCGAUGGCCUGAAGCUCAGGGCCAUUCUUUCCGACUGCCAUCGCCUCAGCUAACGCACCGGCCAAACUCCUCCCUUUGAGAUGUGGGUUGGUGCAACCAAGAAUGAACUGGUGGUCCCUGGAAUCCACGUUGGUUUGGAUCAAAUUGGCAGCAACUGCAUCAGUUCUCGCGAUCAAGACGGUUUCGACGCCCAUGAUGUCGAACUGCAGUCGCGCCGCCACGAGCCGGUUGAUGUGUUCGCCGACCGAUACAAGGACUUUUCCGGCCAUGUGACCACACUUCUUGGUGACCGAUGACUGGUCUUCGAUGUGAACUCCGGCCGCGCCCCGCUCGACGAAUAACUUGCAGAGCUUCACGGUAGCGGUGGCACCGCCAAAGCCCGUGUCACCGUCGGCGAUGAUAGGCUUGAAGUAGUCGACGUAAGGGGUGCGUGCCCGUUCCUCGCGGCUCAUGCUCAUCCGAGCCUCUCGCUGCUUGCGGUCAUGGAACUGUUGCGCGAAGAAGAGGUGUUCGACCUUGUUUGGGACGGUGUCGUAAGGGUAGUCGGCAAGGUCAGGGCCGGGCUCGUUGCUGGUGGUGUGGGUGGAGGAGCACUGCCAGCCGGAGACGUAGAUGGUGUCGAGGUACUUGGCCAUCAUGGUGACUUGGACUGGGUCAAGAGCGCCGAAGGUCCGUGAGGCGGUGCCGUUGGCUUGGUGGGUCUUGAGAGUGCUCCAAAGUUUCUUUGCGAGCUCGUUAGAGGCAUAGCUUUGGCGGAGGGUGCCACGGAGGGAGACGACAUCGCGAGCAGUGUAAGGGCGGCGGGUAAGCUUGAACCUCUCGGUGUUCCACCAUGCUUGCACCUCGGCAACUUCCGCUUCAAAUCUGCUUUCUUCCGCCAUUAUCUGUAGUUAAACUCAUGUUAAUUAUACUUAUCAAGACUAUAUAGCAAUACAACAUUUGGCCUUGACUGGGCAAUAUAGCAGCAUCUUUGGAAUUUGCCGAUCAAUUAAUAUCUUUUUAGGAUGAAUUAUUGUUUCUUGGUCGACUUCUUAUUUUCUAGCCAACUCAACAGAGGAUGGAGAGUUCAAAGGCCAAGACCACAAAAUUAACUACAUUUAUCCCGAACCAAAAUUUUGACACCUUUAAUGACAAUCACAAGCAUAAAAUCUUAUCCAUGAGAAAAGAAGACAUGAGGCAGCAAUUUCAUAAGUAUAGUUUUGACUAAAUCCAGCAUAUAUAAACUCAUCAGAAAAGAAAAGCAUCGAGUGGUAGAGUGAUCGAUGGAAAUAUCAUAUUUUCAUUGUUAAAACUACAAACCUCCAAUUUUUCUGGGUGGUUCUCAUAGCAUGCAUAAGAAGGAUAGGAAACAAAUAAACAUGAACUUACAUUCCUCAUUAAACUAAUGAGACUCGUCAUAUUAUGAUCAUUAGAUACCUAUGUCUCUUUCCCUCCAUCAUGUCAAGUAAUAAAGGUUUGUCUAUAGUGCUCUUUUUCUUUGGUUUUACCCCAAAAGAAUAAAUACAGAAGAGCACAGAGGCUUGAUGAAGAUAUCUUCUGCUAGAUGCAAGUAAAGAAAAAUGGGAAGGAAGGAGAUUAUGGAAGAGGUUUCGAAGCAGGCAUGAGAACUGACCAUUGAAGGCACUGAAAAGGAUGAAGCCAUGGGAGAAUUCUUGAGAGAUAGAUAUUUGUCAGGAGUUGCAGCCAGUGCAUGCAAAGGUCUGCUCCCCUUCCUCCUUUAUAAAGGAUGCAAGAAGUGGGUUGGCAUGGCAACUUCCCUUGAUUAUCCAUCAAGAGAGAACACAGGUUGACAACUUAAUUAUUUUCAUUUUCCAAAUAUUGUGGUGAUGAUAACAUAUUUAAAUAGUCUCAGAUUGUCUUGUUCAGCUGCCACACCCUCCAUCCUUACCCCAAAAGCUUCCUCACUUGGAAGCUGACCAGCCCAUGCAAGCAAACACCUUUCAGAUUCCUGUUGCUUCUCAGGAACUUCCUCUCGACGGAUGAGUAUGGUCAAGGAAAUACGAGGGUGUAAGAAGCGUUUAGAACAUCCGUAGUCAUUGGAUCUUCAUCAAACAAUAGCUGCGAUGAAAAUGGAGAUGUUUGAUGCUGAUUGUUUAAUCCAAUAGCUCUGAAGAUAUGAUGCAGAGUCCAGUCGAAUGCUUGCAGUAGCUAUCGCCCAGAGUUGCAGAUCAAUGUAGGCCAGUCGUGCAGGACUGGCGAAGUUCCUCAUGGCAUUGUUUUCUGACGUGUUGGAGUGCUGCUUGGCUAUUUGAAAUUUUUAUAUUUGUUUUUAUCCAAACGGAUGAAUGAUCGAGAAUAAAAAGAUAAGUGAAAUGAAUUAAUGUCGGGGUACCUUUGAAAAGAGAAUUUGCAUAUAGAGCUUUACUUCUCUUUUAAAUUGAAGAAAAGAAAUAAAAUAUUCUUAUUUCUCAGAAAUAAAAACCUGAUUCUUCGGAUGAUUGAUUAUCUAGGUGUUUUAUGAUAAAUAUAUAUUGUUCAUCGUAUCAUUCUCUCUCUCUUUUUUUUUUCUUUUGUUUUAUGGACGUUGUCCUAGUAAAGGAUUUUAGUGAAGGAUGAGACCCUUAAUCCUUCUCCAAGAAAUAUGUUUGUAUAUAUAUUUCAUAUACAUUUAGAUAAUAACCUUGAGAUGUAUGGCUCAAGUCAGCAAUUGAAACACAACGUAUAUCUUAUUAGAACACUAUAUUUCUGUGAAUAUUUCUGUAGGUAAACAGUAGGUAAACAGUAGAAAGCUCUAUAUUUCUGUGAAUAUUUAUUAUUAGAACACUUAUAAUUGUUUAUAUAUAUAUAAUAAUAAUCAUAUGUACAGAGAUAGUUGGGCAUAUGGUGACGGAGAAAACGGUUGCGCUUGGAUGGGCGGAGAGAAGAGGAUAAGGUUGGUUGGUGGCGGGAGAGAGAGAGAGUUAGGGACGACAUGACACCAGUCUGCAAACGUCCAAUCCAUAGAAGAAGGAAGGAUUGAUGUUUAUCUAAGAAGGAAGGAUGUGCAAUACGUGCACGUGUCUUCUUCACCUCAGGAACCGGGAACCCGACCCGAUUGACGUGGUAUCGAGGUCACCGGGCUUAUCGUUAUCCCCCUUCAACCGGUACGAGUAUGGAAUCAUUCACCGGACUUUCAGAAUAUGUAUGAUAUGGGGAAGACGUGACCAUCGAUUGCCUACCAUCCACUGGUACGGCGGUGUAAAGUAUACACGAUUCAAAUCCCAUCUGCCAGUGCCUUUGGGUUGAACAGAAAAAAUCCUCUAUUCUGUUGAGGAAAAUCCUCCCUCCUAAUCCUAUAAAUAGGAGAGGAACAUGUUAAUGUAUUCAAGCUAAGCUACUUCACUUCUUUAACAAAGCUUCUUCAAUUAUUAUUCUUAUCUUCUAUUAUUUCUAUCGGUGUUGGAUUUCUACCCUCUAGCUUUGGUGAUUAGAAUAUAAAAAGGUCAGAUAUUUUAUCAUUUAUUUAUUUUUUUAAAAAAUAAAUAAAUAAAUAAUAAAAAUGGGAUUCAAAUUCAAAAAUUAUCAUAUAUUAUUAAAAUCUUUAUUAGCUUAGUAAGUUAAUACCUUUAAAUAUGUUGAAUGAGAUUUUGAACCUUCAAUAAAAAUAUCUGAUAUAUCAUCAUCAAACUAAUGUUGAAGAUAUAAUUUUAUCAUUUAUUCUCAAUAUUAUUCCUUAGUGGCAUUUACUAAUCUGAACACUACAUGUUAUUAUUACGGCUUUGAUAUUUAAAUUUUUUCUUACAAUUUUUUUAAAAAAAAUAAUCUCAUAAAAUAAUAAAAUGGUGGGAUAUGUCCUUAAUAUUUGAGGACCACUUAUAUGAUAGAAUUAAGUAAUUAGACUUGUUCUGACCAAUCUAAUUGAGUAUACAUCAAUUAUGAAUUAUAUUUUAGUAAAUACAUAAAAUACAUCCUUUUUGGGGGCAUUAUAGUUCAUGUGAUUUUUAGGGGUUAACUAUAAAUUAUCCUAAUUUAUCAUAACGUUAUCAGUUUUACCAAAUAUAAUUUUGACAUUCUAGUUGAUGGUGACGGACAAUGACAUCACUGGAGGCUAGGGGUUGUUGUUGUAGAUGGAAGAGCGAUGACAAGAGGUGAGGGUCACUCUAUAAUUGCGUCGACAUCAACGUAGUUAUUGAGUGGCAAAAGGGUCACUCGAUAUCUGCAUCGAUAGCCCUUUCAUUGCUCGACAACUGUGUCAAUGAUGGGUACGAUGAUAGUAUCAAAUUCUAAGACCCACAUUUUUCUACGACCACCGAAUCUGUCCACCAAGAGCUCAACAACCGUUCGCCUACCAAUGUUCUAGAGCUUCCCUUCCUAAUUGACGACAACCACCGCGAAUAGAACUCCUUCGAUGAGCACUUCAUCUCCCCUUUUUCAUGCUCAUGCCAAAACUAACGCAACAGUAGGGGGAGCAGCAAGAGCUUCGACGACACUAGCUUCGGGUCGAGUGAUCCACCCAACAGGUAAACGAUAAGACGAUCACCAUCUUCGUCGUAGACGUCGCAACCCCCACCAACUGUGUCGGUGCUGACGUAGUUGUCGAGCAACAACCAGCAACAGUGGGCGAAUUGCUCGACCCAAAGCUGGGCAUUGCUCAACGCGUAUGGAGAAGAUAGUGGUUGCCUUGUCAUCGACCCAUUGGGCAGAUCUCUCGACCCAAAGUUAGGGUCGUCGGAGUCAUAUUGCUUCCCAUAAUGUUGUGUUAAUUCUGGUACAGGCAUGAAAAGAGAAGAUUAGGGGUUUGUUGGAGGAGUUCUAUUUGUCGUGAUUAUCAUCGACCAAGAAAGAAAGCUCUGAAAGGUUGGUAGGCAAACGAUUGUCAAACUCCAAAUGAAUAUAUCCAACGAUGGUAGAAAAAAUUUUCUCCAUGCAAUUGUGCAUAUCAUCAAUGUAGUUGUGAGUGACGAAAUGACCACCAUGCAAUUGCCAAGCAACCUUUUCUCCACUCGACAAUUGUAUCAAUGUCAACACAAAUACAAAACAAUCCUCACAUUUUUGCUCUCCUCAUCCACAAUAACCAUCCACAAACCCUAACGACACCACCAAUACAAUCUACUGAUCAUCAACUAAAAUAUUAAAAUUAUUUUUUUAUUUUUAUAUUUUUAUUAAUAAAAUAUAUAAUAUUAGAAUAAAUAAACUUAGAUAUUUCACUUUUAUAACUAUAAAGAUAUCCAUAACUAUAAUGAUACCCGUUUUUAAAAAUAUAACAAUCAAAAUAUGAAAGAUAAUUAAUUAUAAAAAUAAUAUAUAAUUAACCAGAUUUUUAGUUACAUUUGUGUCAACGAUGAUAUCGAAACAUCAAUAGCUCACAUAAUGUGUUGGUAAUUACAAAUCUAAUUUGAGAUCAUUAAACACGGACAUUAUAUAAACCUCAACCCUCUGCAAGCUCCACUAAAUUUCUGAUUCAUACAGGGGAAGAUACAGACCUGCACACGCUACACUUCUCUAUAAAUCGUACUAAACGAGAUGUUCAUAUCAUGCAAUAGGCCACCCAUUUUAACCAGCAAUGUAACGCAUAGACCAAAAGAACAAUAGUCAUGGUGAGAUCAAACAUCCGGACCAACACAAAUGAACAUAAACCAUAACACAAUGCAACGCUUCUUCUCACGGCAGAAAACAUCACUGAGAGAUAAGCCAUCAGAAGACCAGCGACCCAGGAGUCGCAACACAGUGUCCCCUUAAGUUACAUGUUACAAGCAGCCAGAAACAAUAUAUAUAACUCAAGUCUUAACGCAUGAUAUGCAAUUAUUCAGAACCCGUGAAUUUUGAUAUGCUCCUUCUUGAUGAUACCCGCCUGGAUAUGAAGAGUAUGAGAAAUUAACACAGUUUUGGAAAAAGGUUUGCACUGUUCCUUACAUGGUUACACAAAUUAAGUACAGAAGCUAAAUAACCACAGAGGGUAUACACACCUGAACCAGGAAACUCGAGACGUUCUUACGCUGAUCACCUUGGAGUUGAAUAACCUGCAGACAACUAAUGUUCCUAAGAAAAGAAAAACCAAAACAAGGUGCAGCGAUGUAGACUGCACUAACAUAGCAGAAGCAAAAUAAUUAAUAUUAAGUACCUGGCCCAAUUCAGGGUCCUGGACCACAGUACCAUUACAGCAGAAUUCCUUUUUUAGGUCCUUCAAGAUCUUGUUAUAACUAAACUCUUUCUUUAGCCCCUGCACAGUUGUCAGACUCUUUCUGCCAUUUCGUUGUUGGAUGCGGAUAUGAACAUACUCCUUUGCACCAGCACCAGAGUCCUCAGCAUUUGCAUCAGCAAAAGGAUCUGCAUUCAAAGAGACAAGUGCAAGCAUGAUGGAAUGAUGCAGAUAUAAAAAUGAAUCUAGAACAUAAUUGUAUUCAUAGUCUAACAGUCUUUUGCAAGCAUACCAAAUGCAGUUGGAAUAUGGACGUCAAGAUCAGACAUGAACACUUAGCUUUUGAGAUUCAAAGAGAGAGAACAGAGUUUCACUGGCUUUGCAAAGAAUCUUAACUCCAAAAACUGAAAAUUAUGAGUGGCGAUAACAUCAGUUGACAUUGAAGAAUAAUAUAAAGGGAAUAUUUGCUAAUAAUAAUCCAAAAAAAUUGUUGCUAGGUAAUAAAACCCAUUAAAAUUUUCUCUAUGUAAAUGAAAAUUUUAAAUUAUAGACAAUAUAGAAAUGCUGUGAAAGUGAAUCAAAAGUGUAAAAGAUGUUUCUUUCCCAACAGACCAACCAAUUAGGAGCACCAAUUAUGAGGAGAAUAUCAAUUACAGGGACUGGUUAUGGUGACAUUCAGGAUUCCCACAUUGUAUAUAGUUCAAAAUUUUCUUCAUUAACAAAUUAUAUGACAAAAAGAGAAUCACCUUAUACACUUCAAAUCUCCUCAAAAGUCUAUUUAUAUUGAAUAAAUUGCCAGGUUAUAAUGCAAGAAUAAAGCACGUGCAUCCAAAGGACGCUGAGAUGAGAGAGGAAAGGAUAAAAAUUGCAUAGUCUCAUUCCAGUUACCAUUAGAACCAUAGAAAGCCAUCUUUGAAACAACAUAGAACAAAACAUCUUCUUGGAUAAAUACAAGCAUCCAGAAGAAAAGAAAACACAUUCAAAGUUUUCCUUCAACAGAACAUGUCCAGAGUUGACUACCACAAAUGUAGAAAAGCAAAGUAGGAUGCCUAUGUAAAUAUUAUUAGUUGCUACUACAGAUCAAAGAGAUUGUCCAAAAAAUUGGGAUAUCUAGAACAAUUAGUUUAGUGUGUUAUUAUUGUUCAUAAUCCACCAGGGACAAUCAAUGAAAAAGAUAGAACCAUGGUCUAAAGAAGUGAACCACACUUAACUGAUAAGCAGAAUCAUAUUUAUUGAUAAUGUUAAUUAAAAACAAAAACAUGAUGAAGAAUACACCAACCACAUCAGUUUCUUUUAUAUAGUAUGUUAGGAUGUGAUAUAUGAUCUAUAUCAAACAUUGACUUCAUGACAGCUUUGACAACUUGAACUCUAUCAAUACAAAUUAACAAUCAAAUAAAUCCAAGAAGUUCAAUCUCCAUGAACAACUGGGUUUCAGAAAUUGAGUACAAUAUUUGAUGUCGAUCCUGCCAAUACAAUUUCGACCAAAACUUGUGCUGAAUUUAAUACACAUCAAGUCGGAUCUGGCAUGACUGGUCUACUGCAAGGCAACAGCAAACACAUUGUUAAAAUUACUCAUAACACAUGAGGCCUUGUUUGGGCCAUUUGCUUGCCUGUAAGUGGGCUACCUGCAAGUGCUUUUGCAGCAAGGAGCUCAUUUUGCAAGCAUUUGAUUGUCUGCAAGUAAACCCAAUGUAGUAUUGUGCCAACACAACUAGAACCCUACAUGCAGCAAAGUGGGCGUAUGAUUUGAAAUACUGUAUGACACACUUGCGGACUGAACUAUAUGUAAUAAAAUCUUAGAUAUCAUCCUCUCACACGUGGCCUCCUCACACAUUGUGCCCCUCUAUUCCUCUACCUUAGUCCUGCAUAAUUGCUAGUCCUUCCUGUCUGGGCAACAGCAUCCUCCUUUAUCUUAGUCGCAUUUGCCUGCAAUUGCUACUUUUAGGCGUUUCAAAACGCAGGCAAACAAAUGCUACCCAUAUGAAAUCGCAUCCUAUAUCACAAAUGAGACGACCCUCUUUCACCUGUCUUGAUGCAAAUUAUCAACAUGGUUCAGAAUGAUGUUUCAGUGCAGAAAAAUAACAUAAGAUCCACAUUAGACAGCACUCAAAGUGAAUCUUUAAAAUUCACAACGUACCCCACAGAUCUGUUCCGUGUAAGUCUGACAAAGUAUAAACGCGGAUAAUCAACCAUCAACUUUACCAUCCAAAGAAAGCCUACCAUCAGAACCCUAAAGAGAUGAUCCCAAAUAUGACUUUGAUACAGAUCUUUCUUUGUCUGUUGCAAUCAUUUCUUAGAUCGGAGAACAUAUAUGUAAGGAUUCUUAGACAAAGAAUCAUCAUCACCUAGAAAGAGGCUUUCUUGUGUAUCAAACCAUCAGAUUCACAGUUAAGGAUGAUUUCAAUAAAUAAGGUACGAUCUCAUUUUUCCUUCUUAUUGCACAUAUUCAACAAGCAAGCAACUCGAUGCAAGAUAGAAAUCGGUCAAACGAAAGAAGUAACAAAAAUCAUAGCCAAAACAACAAAUAAUUAACAAAUUGCCUAUAUUAACAACAGCUCCAGUAAUAUAUCGGACUAAUUAAUUCCACAGAUCAGCAUCAGAAAACGAGCAUGUUAUCAUCAAUUUCCUCGAAACCCCCAACAAAUAAAUUGCAAAGGGAAAACGAAAAAAAAAAAAAGAAAUCCAGCAACGAUUGAUCUUUCUCACCACACCGGACUCGACGAGAACAAAGCCCCAACCACCGAUCCUUAUCGGCGAAGAAACCCAAGUGGAUUCGAUGGGCCUCCCUCGUCCACUCCCCCAAUACCAAAUAAAACGAGACAGGACAGAAGAGAUAUUGGCGAGACGGAGGGGACAUUUAUUUAUUUAUUUACUUAUAUAAUCCUUUUUCUUCCUACCGCUAAAAACUUCUACGAGUACUAUUCCUUUAACGGUCGGGAUCUCUUUAUGGAACUACGAACGAUCCAGAUUAAUUAGCAGAGUGUGAUCCGUUGUCGGGCGUCACAAGGCUUUUACUUUCUCUCGGGCGGUUUCUUUUCUUCUUUUUUCGGGCGCUUUCUGUCAAUCGACGGCUGAGAUCGCCGUCUGUUCUAUAACGCGGCUGAGAUCGCCGUCUAUCCUAUCACGCGGUGUGUGAGGAAGUGCUGUUCGAUGGAGAUUUGACGUGGUUACCACUUAUCGAGAUAAUAGUAUAAUUAACUCAUUAAUUUAUUAAAUCUGAAUUGUGAGUUCAAAUUGCUAAGUCUCACACUAAAGAUUUGGUACGAAGAAGUUGAGAUAGUGGAGAUGGCAAGUUGAAAGAUAGGUGAUGAUUGGAUUUGUGUGGAUGUUAUGAUUUUUUUUUAAAUUUUAAUUAAUUAAAUUUGUUUGAAGAAGAUAAUAUAGACUGAUAUAAAGUUGAACUUGUGAUAAGUAUUUACGAAGAAAAAAUUCAUAACUAAAAAUUUCUUUGAGAUACUGUACAUAUUUUAGUGUAAACUAAUACAUGAUGAAUGAUAGUUUGUUGAUUACAAAUUAAAUGUCUAGACAUAUGAGAGAUAAAUAGUAUAACAAACUAAGUACUUAUAAGUAUAGUGCGGGAUCUAUAGUAGGACUACUAACAUAUAAUUUGAGUGAUUUAAUAAUGAAGAGUGAGAUGAUGACUUCUUUAGCAUUAUGUAUAUUCAUCUUUGAUAAUAGAUCUUGAAUGUUAUUCUUUUGAGAUAGGAAAAAUCUAAAAGAUUAAAAUGUUGCUUCCACUAUCAAAAAAAUCUUAAGGUUUCUGAAUUUUUGAUGGAGAAUCGAUUUGUCAAUUGCUAAAAAAAUUAUUUUAUAUUCAUGACAUUAUUGUUUGUGAUGAUAAUGUCACCUACAUAAAUUAAUAAAUAUAUAAUACUUCCCUUUUAUUCUUACAGAAACAAAGAUGUGUCAAACUUAGAGUUGACGAAGUCAACUGAUAUAAAAAAAUAAGUCAAGUUUAGUAUACCAGGCUUUUGGAGCUUAGCGAAAUUCAAAAAUAGAUUUUCAUAGUUUAUAAAUAUAGCUUAUAUACUAAGGGUGGAUGAAACCAAGAGGUUGUUACAUUAAGAUAUCAUCAAUUAAGAUCACUUAAAAAAAGGUACUAUUAACAUCUAGUUGGUAUAUAUGCUAGCUUUAAGUGAUAGCUAAAUUUAGGAUGAGCCAAAUUAUCGUUGGUUUAAUAAUUGGACCGAAUGUUUCUGUAAAAUCAAUACUUGAUAAUUGGUGAUAUCCUUUGACCACUAGACGUGCUUUAUAUCUAGUAAUAGAUCCAUUUGGGUUUUGCUUAAUUUGAAAUAUCCACUUACACUUGGAUAUUUUGUGUGCAAUGAAAUAAUAUAAUGGUCGAUGUGAUAUUAUGGAGUAGGACAUCGUAUUUUUCACAUAUGGUUUUAUGCUAUUGUGGAGAGCUUGUGAUAGCAUGAAGGUCAAGGAUUUAAUAUAGUUUAAAGAUAACAUUUUUGAAUCGUGUUAUCAUGUGAUGUUUAAACUCGAUGGUAUUAUUGAAUUGUGUUGGAGAUAUGAGAAUUAGUAAAUAGUUACAAACACAUACUUGAUUAGACUGAUACACUUCGAUGUCACUUAGCUGAGAAGAGAACAAAAAUAUCAUUUAUGGUGGCAAGGGUAUUGUUUCAUCAAGCAUUGCAAGGUAAGUUGGUGGAAAAGUAGACAAAUUAGAAGUGAUAUAAUGAGAAGCUCGGAGUUGACAAUCUAAUUAGUUAGAUAAAAAGUCAAAGUAGUAAUGAUAUUUACUUGAGGCCAAUUGGAUAUAGCAAUAGGCUUUAAUCGAGACCAACAAACUUUUAUUGUGUGUCUAAUUUUAUCACUGAGCUAGCAGAUGAUUUUUUAUUGAUUGUUAUUAUUGAAACGUUAGAGAAAAUCUUGUUUUGAAGCAAAUAAGCUUUAAUAUCACGUAGAAUAUAGGAAUACGUUAUGAAAGAGAUUGAUUACAUUGAGAUAAUAUAUAUUUAUAAAGUUUUAAGAAAGAGAUUUUUAUCAAUAAUACACUCAAAUUAUAUAAUCAAAUCAAUCAAUCAAAUCUGAUCCUCAAAUCAUAAAUUGAUUAAAAAGAUGUAAGAAAUGCAUUGAUGUCAUUCCAUGUUUCCCUCUAUCAUGAUCUUGUAUCGUAUCAUGAUAGUUUUAUUUACUCUGUAGCAUGACAAUUUGACAUGUGUAGUUUUAUUUACUCUGUAACUUCUUUUCUAAAAAGGUUUGUCACCUUUUAUUUCAAGAUGAACGAGAGUAAGUUGUCCUGUAAUGGGCCAAAACCCAUUGGUUCUUGUUGAAGUAUAUAUUUCAUGUUCUUUCUACAUGCAACUUCUCGAUCGGCCCAUGAUCAACUCAUUAAUAAAAUCAAAAUCUAAACUAAACUUGUUACAUGGAAAUGCAAUCAUUGAUCUCAAGCUGAUCAUUUAGUUUUGAUAAAAUCUGUUUUUGACUUCCAUCGCUUCACACACUAUUAAGUGAUACUUGGCUUCAAGAAGGUUUCAUACACAAAAUUCAAACAUUGAUUAAAAACUUUCUAUGAAAAAAUAAUUCAGAAAAAAAAGACUUACAUCUUAUUCAUUUUAAUUUAGUUACUUCUCAUAAAUAUCAUGGUGGUCUUAGCAUACUUUCUUCAACCUUCAGAACCCACUUUACGGUCACUCGCAUAAUUCUUUGAUAUCUUAGUAAUGAUAACAAUCGUUAGAACAAAAUUAUUCAUGCAAAAUAUGGUCAAAUUCACAUUCCUAAAUAUCAUCAAUCUAUCUAGUUGGAAUUGGAAAUUACUUGCUAGUGCUGACUAUCUACUACAUCUUCGUUUCAAUGUUCAAUCUACUCGUUCCCUAUGCCUUUGAGUACCUAAAACUAUUGACCAUCUUUUUUUCCAAUGCCCUAUAUAUAUAUAUAUAUAUAUAUAUAUAUAUAUAUAUAUAUAUAUAUAUAUAUAUAUAUAUAUAAUGGAAUCUCUGGGAAAUUACUUUCAACUUCUCAUUCUCUUAUAAAGCAUCCUGGAACACUGGGAUUGGCUUCAAGAAAGAACAAGUCUGGGGCUGCGCAAACUGCUAUAGACUGCAAUAGCAAACCAGUUGUGAUUUAUUCGAAAAAUACGCUGAACAUUUUAAUCAAAGAAAAAAAUCUUUCAUUUUAUGGUCUUGGACACAAGUAUUGUCUUAUACUAGCUAUUGUGCUAGAGAAUCCAUAUCCGAAGGGAAUAGACUGACUAAUUCAAAUGACAAAAAUUAUAGCUUGGUUAAAAAUGAAUACUAAUUGUGCUUCCUUAUUGCAGGAUGGAGGCAUGAGAUUUAUCAUCAGAGAUCAGAGUGUCGAGCAAUUGGACAGCAAUACACUCAAAACAAGUCAGCUGAGCAAUGUGAAGCAGCAGCCAUUAAACGUGGAUUACAAACAGUAAGUUCAAGGAAAAUCUCCAUUUAUCAAUUUAAACAUACUCUUCUACGAUAGUAGAUGUGCUGAAUGGGAAUGAGGCAGUUCCUCGGGCUAUUGCUCAUACUAUUCACGACAUCAAAGACAUGCUGAACCAUGUACAGUCGUAUACUAUUACUCACUGCUUUCGUGAAUGCAACAGGGCGGUAAACUGGGCUGUCAAGCCUAUAAAACUACUGUUCUCUUUGGAUUGAUUCGUUGUGUCUUCCAGUGGAGCUCUCCACCAUCCUGUAUCACGAGCUUCUUAGGUCAUACCAUAGAACGAUUGAAUCUUAAUAUAUUUCUUUUAUUGAAGAAAAUAUAUUCCAUGAGUGAUCACUUACAAUUCACUUGCAAUUCACGAGCUUCUCUAGUUGACCUUUACAUGCGUGAUCAAAAGCCGCAUUGCCCUAUAUAUAACUACACUCCGAUUGUGGCUGCAAUGUGGCUUUAGAUUCGGUACAAAUCCAGAGUCGAAAGUAGAUAGCUAAUAACUAUGACAUCAGGUGAAUUCAGAUUGAGAUGUCGUAAAGAUCUAACGAUAUCUUAUGGAGAUUGAGUUGUUGUAAAGAUAUAACUAUACAUAUUGAACCCAAAUCCUGUAUUGCAGAUGACUCGUUUUCAGCAGAGAGAUGUCGACGCUGUUCCAAGCCCACCGGUUGUACCACAUCACUUGCACUUCUGUUGUGUGAUUGAUGAAACAAACAUACAGGUUUGGUAACAACCAAAUUACUUGAAAGAAAAGGAAUUCAAACAUGAAAAAAAUAUAUAGUUGGAGUGCCAAUUUUCUUUGGUAGAAUUAGAGAGAUUUCAGAAAGAAACAGAGUGGAAGACACAGUAUUUGUUCAAAGCCGCAGGUGAAGCCUAAAUAGUAGAUUUUGCUUUUAAGUAAUUUAGAAGAAGAAAUGAUUUUUUAUUUUCUUUCAGAAAGGAUAAAGGGUGAAAACGAAAUUCGAAUCAGAACCUUACAAUAAUCAAUCAAGGUCUUUAUCAACUAAAUUAGUAAACAUUUCUUCAUACAUAUUUAAAUAAAUAUUUAAAAAAUCACGAAAUUGAGUUGAGGCUCGAAACAUCGUUAGCAGGAGGUGAUUUUGCUGAUAUAAUAAGACCAUGUACUUGCUGAGAAUAAUGAUGGAAGAAACAGGGUUACAUGUAGUAGCUGUAAGGGAGUAAAAAUUAAUGGUGAUUCCACUGUGUGAAUUAUUACCAUGAUUUGAGUCUCUUGGUGCGUAUGGUUUCUGGUGUCUUCAUACGAAUCAUUUGGGACUCGAGUGAGUGAUGAUGGCAACCAACCGCAAGCAGUGAUGAUUCAUAGCAGUAGCAACAGCAUCCAUUACAUUUUAAUUCUUACCGACAACUGUUGUUGUUUGAUAGCAUUUUCGAAAUCUUAUCAAGAGAAAGACAGUACACACUCAAUGUCAGUAAAAGUCCAACCCAGUGCUCACACAUUGAAAGAACAUCACUCUCUCCAUCACUAUGUCGGCAGGAGUCUCUGAUUUGAUAGGCAAUUGCUUACGGGUUUGCACUAUCGCAUUUUUCAGAAUCAACCAAAAGGAUACUUAAUGCAGACCAUGCGAUUCACUUGAACUUGAUUUGAGACUUCCUGUAGCACAAUUAUUAGCGGAAGGGACAUGAGCUGGGACCAGGAGGAGUAAAAGGUGACCUAUCAAUGCUCGUGAGGGACCAUUGUUACUAGUCCUAUCAAUUGAUGGAUGGAUGAUCCACAUUAAUAUGGUCACAAGGGUUUAAGUUGAUGUGAUGAUCCUAUUAUUAUCAUCAUCUUAAAUGUUAACGUGAUGUGUUACACCGACAAAUUACUGCUCUCCAAAAGAUCCUCCACAAUGCAGUGCAGUAGGAACCAUAGAAUUUUUGUUGAAGCCACAAAUGUACCCCCUUGGAAAACAACUCUCUUUCCUUGCAAUGCGCCAAGUGUGCACGUUGUACAGACCAUGCAUAUGAACAAACAAUUGUACUCCAACAAAGCAACCCAACACCGACUUGGACGUAAUGGUUGAUGAUUGAGCAGACACAGAGAAGUGGAAGACGCCCGUCCUCAAUGAUUAGGGCGGCUGUAUGGGGCGAUGCGUGAAUGACGUGGUUGCAUUGACAUCAUGUAUUUUCCGAGAUAUGUGUCUGUGAAUAGGAGGAAAGGAAUGAUUGGGAUUCAACAACGUCAGCACAAAUGUAAUGUCACGUACCCUUCAGCACAUAUUCACAUGCUUACUAUUUGUAUAGUAAGAUCGAAGGCAUCGUCUUUAUGAUAUUGACAAUCUUCCGCGAGGUCUUGUACCUCUGCGGAUAAUUAUGUCUUAACUCAGGCACAGGGAGAUGGGAAAAAGCAUUCAUCUUCUUCCGGUGUUUCUGAUCUGAGCCAUCCUUUAUCUUAGAACACUCGAUGGAUGUCCUCCCACGUGCUUAACUUGAACACUGAUGGAUAAGUUUGACACGCAGCGAAGCUUCUGUGGCCAUGCCGACGUCCAACAACACUUACGGGAGCUCUAUCCUCUACUUGUGCUCUUCGAACGUCUGAAGGAAAAGGGUCAACGUCGCAGUUUGUGCCGAAGUUAGAUCCAAGAUGUUGUCGAUAUUUAUGCAAGCUGUUGGUGCAGUCAGAGUGGGAGUCUGCAAAUCAGAUUAAAUGCCUUCGACAGGCUAAAACUAGUUCCCGUUCUAUAGCUUUCCAGAUAAAAUUAAAUGCUUCCAAAAGGUUGCCUCCAAGUGUUCGUUGUCGUGUCAGUAGUGAAAUUAAAGAUAUGAUGUUCUUCUCCUGAAACGUUGGUGUGAACUUUGAAUCUUAUGUAGGUGAUGAUUAUAUGAAGCAUUAUUUAAGUCUNNNNNNNNNNNNNNNNNNNNACUAACAACUACACUGCACUGAACAUGUUUCAGCCAAAUUCUCCUAUUUGCUUCUACCGUUUUUAGUGACAACUCCAGGAUUCAAGAGUUAUAUCAAAUCUGGAGGUCACCAAGAAAUCUUGCAAAUGUAAAGGCACUACAUGAAAGGGUUGUAGGAAUCACAAUAGAAUCUGAAUUACCAUUUAACAAUGCUAACAUCCUAUGCGUGGUCCACAUUAGAGAAGAUUCUGCAGAGUUAUUAGGAUCUUUAUGUGCAUGUGGCUUGUCAACGUAGCUAUAAGUCCAACCAUUCCUUCCCUUCCCAAUCAUUGCAAGAGGUGUUUGGCGUCGCUGAUACAUGAGAGUCAGUCAACCUUAUAUAUAUCAUGCCGACAUGGACGGCUACUAAAAUACACAGAUUCAACAGAGAGAAAGAGAGUGAAAUGAAGGUGGUACAAUCCAUUCAACCGCAGCAUGUGACUUGCUGGUUGUGAUUUGUGAAGGAGAAGGCUAGAGAAAACUAUUUAUUUUUCUUGUUUCAUUGAAUCUUUCUUCAUCCGACAUAAUCAUUUUAGCUCUAUCUAUCCCCACUUCAUCAACUUCUUUGGUCCUCGUUUCUCUUCUGAUCCUGAUUCCUAACACUCUGCCAAUCCCUUUGCAGAAGUGUACUAUAUAUCCUUUGAUAUUCUAUGGAUGAACGUGUUCUUUUUAGCAGCCAGACACCCAAGCAACACAGAGAUAUGGCUGAACACUUUAUAUCUGUAGCUUCAGCUCAUGAAUUGCUCAACUGCUUCAUUCCAGGGAUCAGUCAACGCCUCCCAGACCUCCCCAAGUAAGUUUAAGCUUUUGCCAUGUCUUCCUUUUGUUGUCACUUCUUAUCUGGUUCAGCUUAUGACUUUUCAUACAGACCAAGUUUCUGCAUAUAGAAACAAGCGUUCUAUAUAAAGAUUACAUUAAUCUUCCUAUGUUUCAUAGUGAUAAUUGAGUCAAACUAAUUAGGAUUAAUAUAUAUUGAGUCAUACAUCAAUUCAAUCUAAAAAUAGAUAUAUAUAUAUAAUAUAAUAUCUGGUCAGUGGACCGCAAGCUUAACUCCUGUUACCAAACUCAUGUUGACUCUGAUACCAUACCAGAAAUCUAUUACUGAUAAAUGAAUCAAAUUAAUCAGGAUAAACAUAUAUUGAGCCAAGCAUCAAUUCAAUAAAAAAAACUUAAUUUGAUAGAUUAUGAACUAGGCUCAAAUAUAUAUCUAUAUUUAUUAAUACUGGACUAUUCUCCUAGUUCUUGUUUUUAAUCUCUCCUCAAAUAUAUGGUUUCAACUAUCGUCCUUAAUCAUUGAAGGUGUACGAAUAGUAAAUAAUGCAUUAUCGUCGUCUUGUGAUGCCUGAAGCACUUCUCUGAAAACGAUCAUGCCUCAAAACUUAGGCACAUCCAUUAACAAGUUAGAAGAGUUGGGGAUUAAACUCGUUAGCUUUUCAAAGGUUCCAGGAAUAGUGUGAUACGGAUCUACAAGUGGAUUCCAAUAGAACUCUCAGAAGUUCCAAUCCGUCUCGCGCUAGCUCAUAGACAAUGGAGUUGAGGUAAAAAGACUUAAACUGCUCGAAGAUAUACUAGCUUACAUGGAAUAAUAUUCUGAAGCAAAACGUACCGAUUUGUAUGGCCUUCAUUCCACUCGAAAGAUUCCAGGGAGAAGUUUCCUAUAUAUGUCCUUGGCAGGGUCCUAUAUAUGUCCUUGGCAAGGACAUGCAAUUGUUACUAGGUGACUAGGUGGGAUCAGUAGCCUCUCUCUCUCUCUCUCUCUCUCUCUCUCUCUCUCUCUCUUUGAUCCUCAAAUAUACACAUAAACACUAUGUUUGAAGCAAAAUUUGGUAAUAGCCGCAUUAAAAGGUAGAUUCAAGAGCACUUGAAGGUUGCUAGAGAAGUCUGUUAAUUAAGCCUCUACAAUAAAUUUCUUCCGUAUAUUUCUUCACCUGAAUUUCCAAUAUUCAUUGGAUAUUGAUCAUUGGAAAAAGAUAGGAAAUGCUAGUUUUUCCAUUGCUAGAAAGUUUUCCAAUUGUUAUUACCACUAGUUUUUAUAAAUUAGAUAUUUUAUUGUGAAGUUAUUUAGUUAUUUUAUGAAUAAGAUAUUUGAUUGCUAGAGCAACUUCUAAGCCCAUAAUUGACUUCUAUAAUAAUGGUUUCCUUGAGUUAAUAGUUUUUCUGUUGGAAAUAUAUAGUUUAGCUAUGCAUGAAUUGCAAACCAAUGUGUGCGAAUGGCUUAGUAGAUUAUGAGUAGCCGUGUACAUGCUAUUUGCAUAAUCAUGCGCUUUUGAGUCCUAUUCUCUUAACAAAAACGUAGAGUUUACAUCAUCUAAUAAGAACGUCCAAGAUUUAAUCGAAUGUCCUAAACAAGCAUUAAUUAUGUGAUUAGAUUGCUUCGAUACUCGUCUGUCAAAAGAAAAGAAAAAGCUAGUACAUAAACUGACCGACAACUUCAUGUUUUCUUUGAUGCAACCCAUAUGGUAAUGACAUGAAUUUUUUGACCAGAGAAUAACUUUGGAAUGAUAUAAAUUGUAUUUCUCUAAUUACUACGGCAGAUAAAAUACAUGAUGUUUCAGAAAAAAAAGCUCAAGUCCAUUAGAGUCAAUACGCAAGUGCCGUGAUUUAAUUGACUACCGUGGUACCUUAAUAGUAAAUGAGGGAGUAAAGGACCAAUUCAGUAGGUAGGAAGAGUACCGUUCUUCUGAGACAGUAAGCAGCACCAUUUACGAGCAUUAAUCCGUGCAAUGCCUGACAUUAAUCCGUACACACACGAUCGCAUCAUUGCUCAUUGAGCCCAUGUGCAUCCAUCGUUCUCACUGAAAUCACCUCAUGAACUCUGGGUUAAAGCCGCGGCCGUAGCGUGUCGAAGGCCUCUGUGGGGGGGUGACCGCGACGGCAUUACUCCCUUCCCCAUGCAAGAGGGCAAACACCCUCAGCGUUUAGUUAGUGGGGCACUUCUUCAGCGUCUAGUCAGCGGGAACAGCGUUUAGUCGCAGAGCUACCGGAGCUCCCUUUCACGAGUCUAACACGUCGUGCAAUCUCUAUAUAAGCAGGUCCAGGGUAUCCCAUUGGCGUGUCGAAGGAAGCUGAAGAAGAUGAAGGUGUUGGGAAUCGUUUCGGAAGCGCGAGAUCUCAAUCAAGUAGUUUUUUCGCAUGGUUAGUUUAGUCUUUGCAUUCUCGAUCGGUCUCAUCUUAUAGUAGUUCGCUUCUCUUAUCAAGUGCAUUCCUGCGACGCAAUCCAUAUCCAAGCAGAUAAAAGCGUAUUCUUUCGGUGAGUUAAAGGAAGCCAAACAAGUGUCCUUGGGAAGAAUGGAGGUGUUGGGAAUUGUUUCAGAGGCACGAGAGCUAAGUCAGGUAUUAUUCUAAAUUCUCCGCAUGCAGUGCUUUGUCUUUACAUUCUCCGCGAUAUUUUCCGUAGCUCAGACGGUUCUUUGUUCGGAUACUACAUGUGGAGUCGUCCUUGUCAAAGAGAAAACUGGUUUGGAUCAUAAAAAUAUCAACUCACUGUAGUCUUCUUUUCCUUGUCCCUUUCUAUUCCUGUGCCGUGGGACACCAUGGCAAACGUUUCCGCCCAUUGAUGUGGUCAUUCAAUGACCUGCUGCAGUGAGAUCCACACACGGAGUUCUCCAACAUCGACAGACAACACCGCCUGGAAUCCUUGUUAAGCUUGUAAAGUCGAACCUAUAUAGCGUAACGCUUCAUUAAUCUUAGCUAGAUAAUGACUUCUCCAUAGUGUUGAUGGUUGGGGUGAGAUGCCAAGUCUUCAUUCUUAGCUAGACAAUGACGAUUCCCGUAGUGUCGAUGGCUGGGCUGAAAAAGAAGUGCCAACCCAGCCACUGGCUUUUCUUGCCGACCUGUUCAAACUUGUUGUAGAACUAUUUCCAAAUCUUUAUUGCCGGUGAGAAUUCUUUCCGAUUGUUGUUUCGAGUGUAGUGGCCCAAUGUUCAUAACAAUCCCAUGAUAUCGACUCCCUACUUUCCGUCUUUGUUUUCGGAUUAGGUGAAGACCAGCAUAGCGUUUCUUACAUCAAAGCUGUGAGUUUCUCACUGGUAUCAUAAAAGGAUAUUACCCUCACCAGAUCUUUAGCAUCCAUGUCCCUAACGUGACAAUUCCUCGAACGUAGAAAACAAAACAAAUUUACGAAAGAAUACAAACCGGGUAGAGCUGCAACGUGGGAUGUGGCCAGUAUGGCCAGCACACCUUGUGGCCGUGGGCGUGUGGGGGGUGUGCAAGGAUACAAGGAGGAGAGACUGAUGUGCGAUGGAGUCGGGGAAGAGGAGAGACGUCGCAUGAUGGGUCAUGUCCGUCCACGGCCGCAGCUUCUAGUCCCACGUCGCGUUGCGUCGCUUCUGGGCGCAGAAAGCCUCGAAGUGGAGCGUUCGGCAGAAACGAUGGUCGACAAUUAUGAGGGUGGCAUGCUCCAAAAUCACGCCCCGCCGCCCCCUCCAAACACGGAGAUGCUUAUGCUGCUUUGUCCAUGCGGAUGAAGCCAAUUCCCCAAAAUCUUACGCCUUCUUUUUCUUUUUUUUUGUCUCCUCUCCGAUUACACCGUAUAUAUUCAAGUAAAACAAUUAUUAGUUUUAAGGGAUACAAAAUUCCUUAUCCCAAUGUUCAAGCGAACUCUGGAACGUUGAUGUUAAAUACAUCAGAAAGAGAAAGGCCAUUGUGUUCACACCGGACAAGGCACAAGAAAGGAUAACUCUUUCUUUCUACAUGGAAGAAAUUCUAGAAGUGGGUUUCUUUUACCAUUUCUUACAUUUCCGUUUAUGUCAUCAGGAAGAAGUUCUAGAAUUGGGUUUCUUUCUCUUGAGGAGUACACUGUUUCUUACUUUUCCAUUUAUGUGAUGAAGAUGUGAUAGUGGUUCAUAUAUUCCUGCGUUAGGUCAUCAUUAGCUAUCGAGUAGUGAACUUAAGCCUGUAAAUGAGAUAUCAUUUAUAUUUUUAACAUUCUCCUUACACCUGCAUGACAGAUGGCUCAAAUUCAAUACAUAAAUUUUGAAUUCGUAGAAAAUUUCUUACUGCAUGGGCUUUAAGGCUCGUGUAGAUGACGGAUGACUUACUUAAAUUAAAUGCCGAUAUAAUUUUAUGGAAGGUGUGAGCCAGAGAUAUUCGAAAAGAAUUCUUAAAUUAGUUAUUAUUGCUAUUUUAUCCAAAAUCCUAACUCAAAGGUAUGAUUUAGAGUCAUAUUUUUAACAGAGUUUAAUUAAUUUUACCUUGAAAGUAAAAGCAAGACAACAUUGGAUUAAACAUCAGAGGCCUGAGCUCAUGGCUAUAUAAACAUGAAGGCCUGUUGGUUUUCUUCUUCGUGAGAGUUAGGCACUAAGUUCAUCUCCUUCCCUCAGGCUCGCACUGCUCCUGUGAUGGAUCACAGUCCACCAUUCUUAGCCACCUACAAGAGCCUCUUCGGCGGACAACAAGCCAUUGACACUGAAACCGAGGUGGUGGAGUGCUGCGACCUCCCGCUCAUCGAUCUCAGCCGUCUACACGACGUGCUCGAGGCCGCGCAAUGUAAGCAAGAUAUCGUCACCGCCGCCUCCGAGUGGGGCUUCUUCCAGAUAGUGAGCCACGGCAUACCCGACGGUCUCUUGGCGAGGUUGCGAGAGGAGCAGGUUAAGAUGUUUCGUCAACCGUUCAAGCGGAAGACCAGCGAGAAACUCCUCGACUUCUCCGACGACAGCUAUCGGUGGGGGACACCCACGGCGACCAGCCUGAAGCACUUGUCGUGGUCGGAGGCGUUUCAUGUUCCUUUAUCUUCGUCAAACAAGCCUGCAAGAAGUAGCACGAUCAGGUACUUCACAAGAUGUUCCUUAUAUCACGGAGUAAUAGAUAAUACAUGACGUGUUGCAGCCAAAUUACAUGGUUUUCUUGCUAAGCUUGGAUUUCCUCAUAGAUCUCUCGGUUGACUGUGUAUAUCUCUUGUGAACCCUAAGUUUAUUUCCACAUCUGUUAAGUUACUUUGCAUAUCUCUUAUGACACCCUCAGUAAUGCUUCAAAUGGCCAUCUUGCAACGCAGGUGCGUGAUAGAAGAACUUUCUUUGGCGAUGGCCCAACUGGCAACUCAACUGGUCGAUACGCUUGCGGAAGGAUUUGGACGCGAUGGCACAUAUAUGAAGGAAAACUGCACACGUAACAUGUGUUAUCUACGGCUAAACCGCUAUCCGCCAUGCCCAAUACCUGCUCAAGUGUUUGGAUUGGUUCCUCACACUGACAGUGAUUUCCUCACCAUCCUGUGCCAAGACGAAGUGAUCGGGCUGCAGUUGAAGAAGGGUGGGAGAUGGUUCACUGUUAGGCCUAAUCCUAACACGCUCGUCAUCAACAUCGGCGAUCUAUUCCAGGUGAGAAAAUAGUUCUUGCAAGUAAGUGUUUCCAAGUGCUUUUGACACAUGAAAUACUCGACCGAGACGGAGACCUGGUGUUUUAUGGGAAUGCAGGCAUGGAGCAAUGGCUUAUACAAGAGUGUGGAGCACAGGGUCAUGUCGAACCCACACCUGGAGAGGUUCUCAGUGGCCUACUUUAUGUGCCCCUCCAACGAAACUGUGAUCGAGAGCAGCGCACAGCCGGCCAUCUACAGGAAGUUCAGCUUUGGGGAAUACCGACAACAAGUCCAACAAGACGUCAGGCGAAUGGGCCACAAGGUUGGGCUCACAAGGUUUCUUGCCUGAAGCAGAUGAAACAUCCAGCGAUUCCCUCCACAGCUCUUUUCUCCGAGUGCCAAUUUUAGCUUUUUGGCCACUAAUUAUAGAUCUAAAAUUGCGACAAACCAUAGUCUCGAGGAGUGCUAAAUAUUUAGAGUCCAAAUAGUAAGUGUUGCAGUCAUCUGAUCCUCGAAACAGUUGACAGGAAACAGAUAGAUCUAUAGGUUACAUUUGUAAAUGGAAGAAACAGAGGUAGAAACCUCUUGAGCUACCUUCAAGAUGUACUACUUGGGGAGGAGGCAACAUGAAUAAAUUGGUAGUAUUCGAUAAAUAUUUGGACGUACACAACCUGUUUCAGAUUUCGCAGGAACUAUACAAUAAAACAAAACUUCUCAGUCGCUGUUCAUAAUCACUUGUAGGAGGAGAUAAAACCAAAUGAGGUCUGCGAUUGUUGCCAAACUUUGUAAGACCGUAGGUAGAAUCUUCGUUCCACAGAAAAGAAUGCAUCCUUCGACAUGUUACCUCAUUGACCUCGGUGUUGGAUUGGCGUUGGAUUCAGUAAUGAAUGCAUCAGCCGUAUCAAAUAUGCGAAAGAGAGAAUCAUCGGAUCGAUAUGACCAUGAUAUGAAGCAUCCCUGGAAGCAGGUGCCACAGGUAAUUCCUGGCUCUUUUCUUUACUCAUUCACAAACUUGUAAGUUUUGGCUAGAAUUACUUGAAGUAAAAAGAACAGCUUGUGAAUUCUCGCCUGACUUCAAAACUUGAAUGCUUUCAUUGUAAUUCCCAUUCCAAGCUUUCAAACCACUCGACAUCUUCGAUUUAGCAGCAGACAUUAAGUUCUUUACGAAUCGAAGAUCUCGAAGCUUUUAUCUCCGAGGAAGAACAAUGUGAUGUUGUGAAGCCAUGCAGAGGAACGAGAUAAGAGGUCAAAAGAUCACAAGAUCUCUCUCCAAUCCUACUCAGAUCCGUAGUGGACGACAGAAAUUUAAGUCAAGAUUCCUUUUCUUAUUAUAUUCAUGACUCUUUCCUCGGAUUAGGACGGAACUAAACAAACAUGCAGUUUUCCAUUACAAAAAAAUUGUCUUGUUACAUUAUUGAUUGAUUGAAGGGAAUAAAACCAGUAAUAAACUUGUAAUUUGUUUGUCCUGAUAUUAGAUCUUGGUCGACAUAAUUUAUUUGGCCCAAAAUCUAUCUCUAUUUUGCAUGCCAAUAUUUAAUCUUGAAUUCAUGCCUAUUAAUACUUAAAUACUAUACCUUUCAAGUUAUAAAACUAUAAACACAAAAGGAAAUAUUAUGAUUAGAAUUAACAUAUAUAAAAAGAUACCUUUUCAUCUAAUCCAUAAAAUUCCUUUUUCAUCUUCAUCUUCUUCUCAAUUUUUUUUUCUUUUAUUUAUUCGUUUGCUGUUCAACAACAACUUGGCAAUGAUUCCUAUCAAUUGCCGGCGUUUCCUGUGAGGCUAGGCUGUAAAUAUCCAAUUUUAUUUUAUUUUUUAAAUUAAAAUUUAUAUUAUAUCAAAUAAUAUAUAUGACAUUCAUACGUAAAUACACUGAUCAAUCCAAUGUUCCAAUAAAACUAAGAAGAACUUGUUAUGUGUAUUUUGAUAGUAAAUUUAGGUUUUUUUGACACUGUUAGGGACAUUCUCUACUGGUUUUUGUUAUUGCUACAAAACCUUCUUAUGGAGUGGGCUUCUCUUUCCUCCCUGUUUACCUUCCUAAGCAGGGAGACAGAGGCCAUCUUUGCCCACCAAGUUCUGCCACCAUUUCCACCUCUGGCCCCCCGCCCCCCUUCCCACCCCCUUCUUCUUCCUGCUCCAGACAAAGAAGUUACUGCUCCUCCAUAUGGCUGCUUCACCCGUCACCGCAGUAUGGAAUGUUCGCACCUCGCACGCUUCAUUCUACCUUCCACCGGUUGGCCUCCAAGCUGGUGAACGAGAAUCCCCCACCGUUCUCCAGCCUUCAACAGCAGCUCCAGACACUACAGCUUUCUAUGCUCAAGACAGCGGGGAAGAGGCUUCCACCACCCAGCUCGCUGCUGAUCUAAUGAUCCAGUUCAGGAAUGUCAUCUACGCCGCCGAUGACUUGGUCGACGAGCUGCCUACAAGGCGUUGCAAGAACAAAUUGAGCAGAUGACAAGAGCUGCACUAGAAGGUGUUGCAAGAACAAGUUGAGCAGAUGACAGGAGCUGCGGCAGACCAAGAGGGCAGCGAGAUCCAGCUCAACGUUUACAGAGGAUUCCAGACCGGCGAGGACGACGUUGCAAACCAGGGAAGCAGUUACCCUUCAGCCCUCACUGUCUUCAGCUGAUGGUUCUCAAGCAACACUUGGUCCCCCAGCUAAUGGAAGUUUGCCGAGAUCUGUACCGAAUAACUCUCAGAAGAACCAGGUCAAUGGUUUAGACUUGGCGCUCGAAACCAAUGGCGGCCACGCCGAGGGUGUUGGAUCGCUUGCUUGUCCGCCGUUCAUAUGUAAUUGCUUCCCAACAGCCGAGUCCAGCUCGAAGCAAGCAAGCAGUAGAUCUUCACGGUCUCUGUUCAGCUGCCCAAGUGGCAACAAUCAGGCAGCUGACGGGACAAAUUGCAACGGAGAUCGGGCUACAGGGAAGUGGUGGUCGUUCUUCGUGCCAAUGGCCUGUUGCUCUUGACUUCCGGAAACAAUCAAGGACCCCCAGGAAGGAAUUGUCCAUGGAGAAAGGAUUGGUUCCUCUGGUUCUUUGGAUAAGAAGAACCAAAGUUACUGUAAAUGCCCUUUUCAUUUUUGCGUGCUUUAGUUGUGCAAUUGUUCUCUGUCACUCUGAACAGAUAUUUGUUGCAUGCAUCAAUUUUGGGCUGUCUCAGUUUAAAAUAAGAGGCUCAAUUUAAAGAAUUAGAAAUCUGUAGUUUGUUAAUGUUUUGUAUGAUCCCCAACCCUUUCUCUAUGUUCAGACAAAAAUAUACGCCUUCUGUUGGCAAGGAAAGAACAGUGAUCGGUGCCAUGACAUGUUCUUUGGCUCAUCUGUGUGCAGAUCAUUUUCUCUUUGAUGGUUCAUACCUUACUGCCAAUUCCUGUAGCUAGUUUGAUGGUAUUAAAUUCAAUAAUCAACUAAUACUAGAUAACUUUGACAUGACUUCUUUCUCUUCUCUACUUGUUUGGGCAUAUCAGAAGAGUUGGAACUUCUUGAACCUCCUCCACAUGCCUCUCACAACAUGCAAUGCCAUCAACAUCAAAUUGUCUGUCUUGAGUCCUCCACACACCUUCCACAACACGCAUUUCCGACAAGAUUAGGAACCGGCGGAGUAGUAGAACAAGCCAAAGUGCAAUGCAUUCAGGAAAGCAAACCAAGUAUCUGUGGAAAAGAGAAAAUGUGAUAUCCCACAACAUGCUGACUGAGCUACCUCUAUCUAUGUAUCUAUCUACGACUCAAGAAGUCUCAUUCUUGUCAGCUUCUGCAUGUUCUUUUGUCUUUGUUAUAAGGGAGGAUCGAGAAGAUGCAAAGCAUGACUACAGUCAAAAAUAUCCGUCUUUUGAGCAGUACAUAGUGCUCUGAAUUCACCCCGUGGUGGUGGCGGUGAGGAUCACAUCACCGGGCAGUUUCAUUACCGCGGUUCAUCUUGCCCAUGGAGAGUGUGAGGUAUAGCAGUAUCAGUGUUCCCAUACAAGACCUGCACAAAUGAGACCACACAUCGAAAAUCUAAAUCACCGAAUCCAAUUCUUACUGCUUUACUAUGUUUCCUAUUAGCUCUAAUUCUUGCUACCAACGCUAUCUAUGUGACCGAUACAAACAUUAUCCAAAAGAAAGUACAACUCGAGGCUAUCUAUCUGAUCAAUAAUAAUAAUUCAAACUUUUAAGUCCAAGUUUCUACCAUUAGCAUCACCAUCUUCACCCUCUGAGGGUGACUUGACACCUAAGGGAAUUAAAAGGAGGAAAAAGAAAGGACAUGGAACAACUCUUUUCUUGAAAUGCAAGCCGAGAAACUUAACUAAAAGAAAGUUGAAUUUGCAUCAUAGUCGCAUACUUUCUCUCCCUUUUGCAUUCGAGACCCCCACGCAUCAAAUUGUCACCAUUGGAGGACCCAUUUUUAGUCAAAGAAUGCUUCCUUCGUUCUUCUUGCCGUUUUAUGCAAGUAAUCCAACUAUUUCAUAUACUCGUGGAAAUGUGUCACCAUCGACACCUACCAUUACUAUGACGACAUGGUUUUAAAGCCAUAUUAAUAUUGGUAUCAUUACAAGAGAUUGGCAUUGGAGAAGACUAAGUUUAUACUAGAAAUCAUGAAAAGUGAACGAUUAUUAGCGACCAAACUGUUAAAAUAAUAAGAAACUUAUUGAUCGUUAUUUCUCUCGUAUAAUAAGCAUUAAAAGGGAGAAUCGCAUUCGUUCAUAAAAAUACCCUAGUUUUUCUGUAGAAACAGAUGGUGUCAUAAACUUACAAGGUGGCGAAGACGACAACGAUUCCGCUUGGGUCGAGCCAUCGCGAGGUUGGACGCCGAGCGCCGACUCGCCUCCACCUCGCUCCAUCCAGUGUCGGAGCCAUCGCACGGGGAAUCCCGACUGCCUCACCCUCCAUCGCCACGUGUACCGAAAGAGGCGACUUCUCGGCCCAUCCGUGCCCACCUGCGCGAUUAUCCAUCGUACAAAGCCCAAUCAGUUACGUUAGUCCGAUGGCGAGCGCACGCGUCCACAGCCCGGACGAGUCGGGUCGUGACUCACCGGCGCCAGGAAGCUCCUCUCCUUCCACAGUCUUGCUCUUCUCUUUUUCGACGCCGCUGCCAUGUGAUCCUUUUCUUGAAGGAAUCUUCUUCGUCAACUUUAGAAACCAGAUCCCGAUGAGUUAAAUCGUCAAUAAACAUUCAUGAUUAAUCUUCUACCAAAUCAACAUGAAAUCGUAGAGGACAAAGAACAGGAAAAAAGGAAGAGUACUCGUGGGCUUGAACUGGAAUGACCCUUGGUGUUUACUACGAGUUGCUGAGAGAUCUCAUCGACGUCAACAGCAACGAAGCAGUCGAACGUCUCCCUCUCUGAAGUAUCCGGUUUCAGUUCUCGGGUCGAUGCAAGCUCGUAAGAACUCUUCGUAGACGAGUCGAAGCAGUGAUAAUAAGUUGGGAGGAGUGGGUACAACAGAAUACAUUGGAACAGCAGCUGAUUGAAGUACCUAUAUGAGUACUCACCAAGUGCGCAGUUUUGGCCAUCGCUUCACUAUGGAUAUCUAUUUGUUUCCUCGCUACGACAUGAAGAAUAGAUUACUGCAAGAAACGAUGGAGAGUAUGAUACAGGUGAUGGCGAAACGGAAGGAAGCAAAAGGAGAGAAGGAGAGUAUUCUGUGUCACUCUCCUCCUAUAUAGGAGAAAGGAGGUGUGAACACUUACGGAAGAUCUGGAUUGCUGCGGAAAUCAGAUAGGAAUGACCCAGCUUCUGUCGCCUUUUUCCCAAGAAUGAAUAGUUCCUGUUCAAUAUGGACACAAGUAUUCAUCAAUAUGAACACAAGAAGUGGCAACAAGCAUCAGAAAUGGACAAAUGGGCAAAACACGAACAGUGAGAUUUGAAUGACAGAUGAGAUAUUGGUUGACUCCAACUACGAGGCAAAGAUGGUCGACUCCAAUUUUUGGAAUAGUGGUACGGGAGAGCGGACAGGUGUUCCUCGCAUGCAGUGGAUGCUUUGUGCGGUCAAAGGAGUAACUACUCCGGAAACAUAUAUAAGAAGAAGCAGAAAGAGAAUGGAAGUCUAUAAGAAAUCUCGAUUUGAUUUUGAGAAUGUUAUCCGCAUCUUACUAAGUGUCAACCCUUAUCGCAUUAAUGUUCCAAUUCCAUUGGAUCGCUUGUACUAUCUUCCUAUUAUUUCAUGAAAAUGAUGGAAUGAGCUGGAGUUGACCAUCCGACAUCAACAACCAACUACUAUUUUAGAUUUUGGAAACUCAUUGAUCUCUGCUACAUAGCCAAAGAUACUGCUACACUGGGCCAACAAUUAUCCAGUGCAUGGACAGUUGCUCCAUGAUGAUCAAUGAGUUAUUGUGGUUGCAUACGUUCUUGGAAUCGAGCAUAGAUGUACAGGCACUAUUCCACUUUUGCUCCCAUCUGAAUUGGAAAUGCACUUAUUAUGUUCUAAAAAAUCUUUUAAUUAAUUACUUCAGCACAAUCACGAGGAGUUGAGAUGAAAAAGCCAGGAAAAGAUUUCAUUCAUGGUAGACAAGUGUUGAAGAUAAAGACAGUGAAAUGAAAUACUCUGUUUGACAUGUCAAGCGUAGUGCAGCAGAGUCGAAUACUACUACGUAGAAGAACAAUUAAGCAAAUAUCAUUUCUUUAUUUUCAUUUUUUUGUCAUCUUAUUUGAGGUCUCGAAUACGUUAUAUUGGAUGGUGCAACUUGUCCUUAGUUUAGCACCUUCCAAGUCAACUCCUUAAUUUUCUGCUCAAUGUUCUCCAUUAUUAGUGGAGCUUGCAGCAUAUGCGAGGAAGUGCCAAAUUCUGAGGCAGGUCAGCUGAGCCAAAUUCAUAAUAUCUAAUGAGGAUAUGAUGUUGAUCAACAAGUCGCUUAUUAAAUUAGAAGUCUAGCAUGAUUUCAGCCUCCUAAUCUGAGAAAUCUCUGUUGCUUUAACCUCUUCUGAAGCUGCUAAUAGUUCAUUAAAGGAUCCUGGAAAAGAGUACCAGAGGAGUGUGCUGUGCCUUUAGUUUGUGCAGUACUUGGUAGGCUUCAUUUUAUUGCUAGUGUUCUUCCUACUCACUAAAUUUCAUAUAAAUUAGCUGUUUAUGCUUUAUACAUGCAUGGCCUAAAAAUGUAUAAAGUUGAGCAUGUUUUCUAUUAUGUUUUAUUUAAUCAUUUUCAUUCAUGCCUUGUAAUUGAAGAGAUUUCCAAGAAACUCCCUAAUUAAAUUCUCCUUCAAUAUAGAACUAAUACUCCAUAAAUCAAAAUUAUAACAUAAUAUAGAAACAGAUAGAGACCAAGCCAACUAUAUAUUCACAUGGCCAGCCAUAUAUAGAAUCUCUUACUUCUAAAAAGUUUCAUAACCCAACAUGUCUUUGCUAGACAAGCAAAACUGCCUUUGAGUAUACAAAGAAGUCAAGCAGUUUUUUUGAGAGAGAGGAAGAGAGUAGUAGCUAAGCAGCUUCUUUGAAAGAAAUUUAAAGUGAAGAAAGAAACUUCGGCAUAGUUGUGCCUUGGUGCUUCUUCAUGUUCUUCAUUGGGUCCUUUGACCCAAAUAUUUAGUAUAAUGAGCUACUUGGCUUUUCAAAAUGUACAUAACUAUUCACCCUCAGUAUUCCAUUCAAAGUACAGUUCUUGCCCUCUAAAUUAUUGCUGGUUGACUUGAUCACAUAUCUAAUUUUAAUUCGUCUAAUUCUCCAAGGCAUUUGCCACUGAAGAUGUCUCAACUCUGUGUCAUCCAACUAGACCAAAUCGAGACAUUUUUCGACCAAAGUUGGUGUUUUUUCGGGCUUAUACUGGAUGCGAGUCGCUUGACCUACGCUGACCAAAUUAUUGAACUGAAUUAAGCUAAACUAUGCAAAACUUCACUCAAAUUUACCUGAAUUCCAUACUUAAAGUAUGCGACAUAACAAUCAAAGACAGCCACUGGUGCCAAAUGUUCUUCACGACAUGCGAAUUCUUGAGGUUACUAGCAAAUAAACUCACCUUGGUAAAAUUUUCUUGAGUUGAUCUGCCGACAUCUAAAUUUUUAGUAUUGUCUGAUAGCCAUCUGGAACAACUGUCUCAGUCUUUUAGUGUUGCAGUUAGGUUGAUGGAAAGAAACCAUCUCAUGUCACCGGCCAACAGCAUGUUCUUAGCAGCCUGUGUCACCUACCUCUGUCUUUAGCAACACUUCUGUCUAAUCCAAAGGUCUUUAGGUAAGUCCAUUUGCAUUAGAUAUAAUUUGCCAUAUGUCAUAUGAUCUCAAAUAAAUGAUUAAUGAAGAGAAGUGCUUCUUUUCCAGUGCAAUGGUGACAUGUGAUUGGGUCCAUACAAGCAUUGUCUGAUGCAGCUCGCAUAUGCUGCCUCUUUUAGUAAACCAAGUAGAGAUUUGUAGAAAUCACACUUUUUUUCUUUUCACCUAAAAGCAUCUUUUUCUUUCCUUUUCUUCUUUUACUUGUUUUGACACAGUGUUUGCAAUGGAUGUGAGGAGUUAAUGGCUGCAGCAACGCAAAUUCAAUAAUCUUUCUUCAAUUUUCAGAUAAAUACUUUACUAGGCAUUGUGAGUGAUAAAGAAAAAUUUUGUCAAGCAGGACAUAGAAAUCAUGUAUUGCUCAGACAAGCUGUACCAGCAUCUCUCAGUCGAUAAGUAACAUGAUUAUCUUAAGAGCCAUACAGAUAACAAUGAACAUGAAAAGCCAAAUCAUAUCUUCACCAAAGCUUUUGCAUCCCUCAUACUUUGUAGGUCAUCAGUGGGUCACAUCCAAAUUAUAAUCUUAUCAUUUCAAAGCAGGUAACUACUGAAGGACUCUUGUUAGACAGCUUAUCUGGCAUUGCUUGGGUUGGGAGAUAAACCAGCAUUCUAUUUCCAAUCCUCAUCUUCACCUACUGAGAAAACUAUGCAAGUAGUAGUUGAAGUCCUCUGGUUUUCUAGCUUGGCAUUGAGCUAAAGGCCAUGUUGUUUCAGAUUGGAGAAACUUCUGGUGCAUGUGAUCCAUUAUGGUAAAGGUGGUGACACAACUACUUAGACAUCCAAAUGUUGCUGUCCAAGCUGCAUGAAGAGAAGGCAAAAGUAGCUCUUUUUCUUUUCACCAUCUGAGCAGAGCUCCCAAGCUUCUCAUAGCAACUUAAUUGUCGGUCCUUUUAGCUCUUAUCUCGGUAAAAUGGUAUGCUUUGUCCAAGUUGGAUUUUUACUUCUAAAGAAUGUGUAAAUAGAUGUACAGAGUUAACGCUUCACGGUCAAUUGACUCUCUCAACUUUAGGAUGUAGAACUGAAAGUAGCAGACGAGUCAAUUACUAUUAGCUAAAGCCAACAUAUUUCUCCAACAUGGUCAACUAAAUCCUGCCACAAAUGGUAUGGAACCUUGCUCACUGUACUUGCUAUACGUCACUUGAUAUAUCUAACUGGAAGAUUCCCAAUCAUAACUACGAAAGAUGUAGAGUAAUGAAGUAAGAAACAAAGAAGUGAACAUGCAGAGGCUAGCUGUAGCACUCAUGAGGCUCACUCUAUAUAAGUGCUCCAAGUCCCUCAUAGCUUCAGCAUCACAGAGCCAACCGAUCUUUGCUUUCUGAGAUGGCCUCUAAGACUCUCUCGAUGCUCUUGGCCUCUUUGGCCCUCUCCCUUCUGCUCACAGGGUCAGCAGAGGCACAGGGCUUGAGUCUUGGUUACUACAGCAAGGCGUGUCCUAAUGCCGAAUCUAUCGUGUUCGAGGAGAUGGCCAAAGUCAUCAAAGUCGCACCAAGCCUUGCUGGUCCUCUCUUGAGGAUGCACUUCCACGAUUGUUUCGUAAGGGUAAUGUCAACUUUGAGCUAUCAUCGAAACGUCGAAAAUGUGUUUUGCCUAAACUUUUCAGCAUGCAGGGAUGUGAUGGGUCAGUCUUGUUGAACUCCACGAAGGGAAAUGUAGCUGAGAAGGACGCACGUCCCAACCUCUCACUCAGAGGCUAUGGUGUCAUUGACAGAGUGAAGGCUAAACUGGAGAAAGCUUGCCCCGGGGUCGUCUCCUGCGCUGAUAUCCUAGCUUUGGUCGCCAGGGAUGCGGUGGUUUUGGUACGAUAACCUUCAUCCUUUUUCUAUAACCGAUAUUCGGUAAACGUCAAGGGAUUUGUUUAGCUUAUGGCCAUCUUUCCUCAGAGCAAAGGACCCUAUUGGCCUGUGCCGACUGGCCGAAGGGAUGGCUUUGUGUCCAUGGCCAACGAGACCAAACAGCUGCCACCACCCACCGCCAACAUCACUACGUUGAUCUCAAUGUUUGCAUCCAAAGGAUUGAGCGUGAAGGACCUUGUUGUUCUAUCAGGUGCAUUCUCUCUCUUCAACUUAAGAGAUCGGACUUCAGGUGGUUUGCUACAGAGAUCUGAAGUUUUCAUGUUUGCCAACUAGGUGGGCACACGAUCGGGAUCUCGCACUGCGCAGCCUUCAACGNNNNNNNNNNNNNNNNNNNNNNNNNNNNNNNNNNNNNNNNNNNNNNNNNNNNNNNNNNNNNNNNNNNNNNNNNNNNNNNNNNNNNNNNNNNNNNNNNNNNNNNNNNNNNNNNNNNNNNNNNNNNNNNNNNNNNNNNNNNNNNNNNNNNNNNNNNNNNNNNNNNNNNNNNNNNNNNNNNNNNNNNNNNNNNNNNNNNNNNNNNNNNNNNNNNNNNNNNNNNNNNNNNNNNNNNNNNNNNNNNNNNNNNNNNNNNNNNNNNNNNNNNNNNNNNNNNNNNNNNNNNNNNNNNNNNNNNNNNNNNNNNNNNNNNNNNNNNNNNNNNNNNNNNNNNNNNNNNNNNNNNNNNNNNNNNNNNNNNNNNNNNNNNNNNNNNNNNNNNNNNNNNNNNNNNNNNNNNNNNNNNNNNNNNNNNNNNNNNNNNNNNNNNNNNNNNNNNNNNNNNNNNNNNNNNNNNNNNNNNNNNNNNNNNNNNNNNNNNNNNNNNNNNNNNNNNNNNNNNNNNNNNNNNNNNNNNNNNNNNNNNNNNNNNNNNNNNNNNNNNNNNNNNNNNNNNNNNNNNNNNNNNNNNNNNNNNNNNNNNNNNNNNNNNNNNNNNNNNNNNNNNNNNNNNNNNNNNNNNNNNNNNNNNNNNNNNNNNNNNNNNNNNNNNNNNNNNNNNNNNNNNNNNNNNNNNNNNNNNNNNNNNNNNNNNNNNNNNNNNNNNNNNNNNNNNNNNNNNNNNNNNNNNNNNNNNNNNNNNNNNNNNNNNNNNNNNNNNNNNNNNNNNNNNNNNNNNNNNNNNNNNNNNNNNNNNNNNNNNNNNNNNNNNNNNNNNNNNNNNNNNNNNNNNNNNNNNNNNNNNNNNNNNNNNNNNNNNNNNNNNNNNNNNNNNNNNNNNNNNNNNNNNNNNNNNNNNNNNNNNNNNNNNNNNNNNNAUCCGAGUCGGAAUUCUUCAAGGACUUCGGGGACUCCAUGAUCAACAUGGGGAAUGUUGGUGUCCUCACUGGCUCAGCAGGUGAGGUCAGGAAGAAAUGUUCGGUUGUCAACUAGAGGGUACGAACUUUCUCGAUCAGCAAUCGAAGAGACUUAGGAAGCAACUUUUACGCUGUGUGUUUGACUACCAAAAUGAUUCGUGGUUUGGUAGCUUGUCAUAUGUGAAGUCUGCUGUGAUUCUUUGUAACUCUCUGUAUCCUACUAAUACUUUUCGGAAUGACCGGUAGAACUCUACCGGCGAAGUUCAUAUCUUUCAAUAAAUAAGUUGAUAUUUCCAGAGUCCUUUUUUCUUGUGUUCUCGUUUUAUAAUUUCCUGGGGAUUCUCCAUGAAUAUUCGUCUCAAAAGUCUGAAUGUCCCAAAGAAUUCUAUAUAAUUUCCUGGGUAAAUACGACUUUUGUAAGAUUCUGAGCUUGUCCUGUUCAAACAAGUCCAGUCAAAGUGUGGAGUUCUCCUCGACACCUUAGUCAAGAUUCUUUUGGUUGGAUCCGGUGACCAAAAUUGACGGCUCCACUCAGCAAUAUCUUGCCUAUUUGCGUUUUUACGAUGCCUAAAUAAUGAGGUUUAAUUAAGAAAUUGGUUCUUCAGUAUGAUUUGACGCAUGCUGUGGUUGUUACGAAAUGGUGUCAGAAGCACAAAUAUAAUGCGAUAAUAAUUUCGUGACAUUUCGAAUACUAAAUGGUUUGAUUGAGAUGCUUACUCAUUUGUGCUUUAGGUUAAAUUGUGUAAAUAUGGCUACAAAGUCAAAGUCAACGAUGUUCAUAUUUACUCCUCUAGAUUUAAGUUUAGCAUCUAAAUUACUACAAAAUUUAUAAUUACAUAAAUAUUAUGUAUUAUAAAUUUAAAAGAGGGACCUGCAUGCUAUGUAAAAUUAUAAGAGGCCAAACAAGCUAUUUCAUAUUUUUACAAGAAUAAAUAUGUAAAAGGUGCUAUCGAUUAGUACAUUUCGUUUAGUCAAUAACACAUGGGAGGCUCGUCCAUGGAUAAAUUUUUUUUUAUCCCAAUAUGUAUGUAUAUAUGUACAGUGGGAUUGAGAAAUUUCUAAUACAACACGAUCCAUCCAAUUAAUCAGGUCUUUAUGUUAAGUUCGAUUGAUCUCAUCGAUUCAUAUAUCUUUUGAAUUCUCACUUGAAACGAAAUUAUGACAUUAGACUUAUGUGUUGAUAUGAUACCUAUUUAGACCGACUAAAGUAAGAUGAUUUAUUCAUUCAAAUUGUUGGGUUUAGGUCAUGCAAAAAUUUUCUCCUAGUGAUAUCCAAUCAAAUCUUAAUCAUUUUGUUUAAAUAAAAUAGAAGAUGAUUGAAAAAUAAUGAUGUAACCGAUAAAUUAAUGUUAUGUAAUCAUCACCUUGUUAUUAUAUUGUUGACACCUCGAUACUACAUGAUUGAUAUCUCGACAUUACGUGGCUAAUAUCACGAUGCUAUUUUUCGAUAUUUCAAUUGCAUUUAGCUGGCAUAGCAUUAUCUUUCGGACAUUAUCAAACAUGUCAUAGUUAUUGUUCAUCUUAUAGAUUCAACAUAGCAAGAUUCCAUUCAAACAUUGGGUAGAAUGUGCACAUAAUCGUCCCGACAUCAAUGUGCAUUUAUGAGUAGAUUGCACUACAAAAAAAAUCCGCAUUCUUCCAUAGAUAAGAAUUUAUGAGUUCUUUAUGCAUUUAACUCUAGCAAUCUCAACACUUAGUUGAUACCUAACUUCUUAAACUUGGGCAUGGAGAGAUUUUGUUGGGUAUAUCCAAAUGUAAUUUUGAGGAUUUGAUAUUUCCUUAUACUAAUCAAAGACAGAUGUAAAAUGGAAUCUCCAAUUGCUCCAAAUUGACAUUCCAAUCGAACAAUCAAAUUUUAAUUUUAUGGAAAGUAUACAAUAUUCACGCUUAAGUCAAUAAAUGUUUAUCUUGUUAGAUCACAAGAGGAAAUAAGGUCGUCCAUACUAUGCCAUCUUUAAGCCAAUUUGACUAAGGUCAUUACAUACGUAAGAUUCAUUAUAUAAAAGAUAAUACAGCUUCAGCUAUUGUUGACUUCACUUUGUAAAUAGACUUUGCCAAACCCAAUAAAAAUCCACAAGCGAAUUGACAUUGCUCGAUGCCUAUCAGUUGACUUUGCUACCACGCUACUACAAGAUGAUUUAUAUGAAGAUUCAUAAGCUAAUCAACGGGGUUGCUUUUAAUAUAUAAGCUAUCCAAUUUGACCCAACGUUUGCACAACUCUAUAAACCAUAUGAACAACACAUAUUCUACCAUAAUGUGAGAAUCCAAAUCAAAUAAGAUAUAUUAAUGUCAAAAUUAUGUAUCUUUUAAUAUCAUUCAGAAUAUCUUUCAUUUAAUCUGUAAAUGCAUUAUCAUCUUGAAGCGAUUUAUAAACGUUGAAAUAUGAACUAAAGGGAGAUAGAGUAAAUCAAUAAUCUUUCUUCAAUAUUUUUAAUUCCUAAGAUGUCAUAUUUAUUUAUAAGAGAAAGUAAGAGGUUUAAGAUAAUCAAUUAGGUGAGUGUCUCUCGUCAAGAUCAUCCUAAUAAAAAAAUAUAAUAAUUAAAAUUUCUUUCUAUUGGUAUAUAACAUAAUAGAAAACAAUCAAAUCUAUAAUAUAUCUUAAUCAAUUUAACAAAACCAUAUAAUCUAGCAUUCUUCUAUUUGAUCCAUUAAUUAAUAAGAUAUUUAAAAUUUUUAAAUAAAAUAAAAUAAUAAAAAAUUUUGAAAAUAAUUUUACUUAAUUCGAUUCUAAAAGUUUUAAAAAGUAUUGUACACAUUGUCAUGAAUUUUAUAAAAUAAAUCAAUAAAUUUAAUAAUACUAAACUGAGUAUGACUAUCAAUGUGAGCUUUAUCGGUUGUAUAUCGUUAAUGUCAUACUUUCUUUUAUGUACCACAAUACUAUUAGUUUUUUCUAAUAUAAUCCAUAAUGACUAUUGAAAAUUCUCUUAUCAAGACAAUCUUAUUAUCACAUCUAAUUAUAAUAUGUAUAUAAAUAAAUAUCAAUAGGAUAAUAGAAAUAAAUAAUUUUAAUUAUAUAAGUAAAAUAUCAAUUAUAAUGUCUAAUUAUAUAUACAUUAUAAUAUCUUUCAUAGAUUACUUACGAGCCCAAUCGUAAGAACAUGUUCUUUAAAUACUUAAGAUUGUAAUACCUUAGUAAAUGGAUCAGUGGAACUCAGGCUCUCAAUUGACAUUAGUUAUUUUUUAAUUCUUUAUUCAACUAUCAAGUAUUUUAUACCCAUAAUAUAUAGAACUAUUAGAGUACUUAAUAUUCUUAAAAAAAUUACUAUAAUAUAUCAGAAAGUAUUUUUAAAGAUAUUACAAUUGAGUCUCACGAUACCAACUCAUAAGAUAAAAUUUUACCAAUAUAAAACUUGAUUAGAGACCUCAAAGUAUACAGUGAAAUCAACCUUUAUUUUUUAUAAUACAAUUUGUAUUAUGUCAUUUUUAAAAAUUAUCUCUCUAACUAAUAUAAAUAUAAAUCAUAAAGUGGACUUCUCUUGAGAUAAUUUAUAGAAUUAAUAUACAAAAAUUUUAUUAUUAAGUUGAUCUAUUGUCUUGUACGUGAACAUAUAAUUCUUUAAUCCCUUAUAGAUAUUUUAUUACUGUAGCACUUUAAUGUUCCAUUUAUGAGUAACUAUAAUAUCUAUCCAAUAUUUCNNNNNNNNNNNNNNNNNNNNNNNNNNNNNNNNNNNNNNNNNNNNNNNNNNNNNNNNNNNNNNNNNNNNNNNNNNNNNNNNNNNNNNNNNNNNNNNNNNNNNNNNNNNNNNNNNNNNNNNNNNNNNNNNNNNNNNNNNNNNNNNNNNNNNNNCUUCAUAUAAUAGAGAACAUGAAAUGAUUAAUAUUAGUUCAUGAAUUUUUGUUACGUAUCAAACAUUUUACUAUAGUUUGUUACGUACAAACCAUUUUGUUACGUACAAACUGGUUUACGUACAAACCAUUUUGUUACGUACAAACUGGUAGUUCAUUUAUUUACGUAUCAAACAUUUUGUUACGUACAAAUCAUCAUACAAAAUCAACUUUUAUUGAAUCAUAAAUAUAUUGAGUUUAUGAUCACUAAAAGAAUAAUUCUAGAUAAAGAAACUAAUUUUUUGAAAUUAUAUAAAUAUAACAUGUAGUCUUAAAAUUCAAGUCAUCCUUAAACGUAAGUUAAAAUUAUAGCUUAAGACGAUUCCCUAUUUUCAUGUUGCUUUGGCCUUUUUGAGUUAAAAUGAAAUCUUAUCUAUUAUUAAUAAUAUGAGAUGAAGCACUAAGUACAAUCUAGUAAAUAUUAGAAAAUAUUUUUAUAAUAUUUUAUUUGAACAUAUAAGGUUCAACUUAUAUCUUUUCCUUUCAAAAUAAAUAUUAUAGUCAUUAGCCUUUCUUGUCAUAGAAAUAGUGUUUUCCUAUAAAGAUUUUUUUUUUAUGAGUUUGUAUAACCUUUAUAAACUCAAUUGAUUUUUUUUAUAAAUUAUACUCUAAUUUUUUUUAUUAUCCACUCCUCGAAUAGUAACGAGAAUAUCAUAAGACUCUUUUCACUUUAAUGUUAAUUAUUGUACAUACUAGUCAAUUUAUUUAAGUUUUAAUUAUCCUUUAUUUAUAUAAUAAUAAAUUUUAAAUAAAUCAAAUUAAGAAACAGAAAAUCUAAACCAUGUAAUCACAUUAGGAAGCAAAUGUCAUCCGGGUGACAACAACACGGUAGUCCCGGGAAGCUCGACAUCGUUUGACUACGAUUUGGUGGCCAAGGGAAAGGGACUGUUCCAUUCUGAUGAGGCUCUUCUCCAGGACAAGGAGACCAGAGGCUCCGUUUUUUCUCGGCUUCAUUUGUCCGAAUCUAGCUUCUUCUCUGACCUUGGCGAGUCAACGAUCAAGUUGGGAAAGGUUGCGGUCCUCACGGCCAAUGCAGGGGAGAUCAUUAGGAACUGUGCGUUAAUUAACUAGUAAGUUCUUGAAUGUUUUAGUUGUAAGAGGUGGCAGUACUAAUCAUUGUACGAUUGAGCGUAUCAGUGCCUACUCGUAAUUAAUUAUAUUUAUAUAAAAUAAAACAAGGGGUUUAGUCAAGUAAAUUAGUGGAUCUAACUGGCAUCAUUCCUUAUAAUUCUUCUUCCUUUAUCAAGAUGCCGAAUUCCAAAAUCAAAAUCCUUUUAUGCUGAGGCGAAAUCCAUGAACUGAUCUUAUCCUGCAUUAUAAUUCGACCUUCUCCGAGCCCAGUCCAGCUUCUGUGAUAGUUAAUAAAUAAAUAGAAGGCCUGCAUCAUUUUAACUGGAUACAUCUGCUGAAGCAGGUAGCAUUUAGACGACCUUACAAGACUAGACUAUUGGCACCCUGGGAAAAUAAACCACUAUAUUUAUUUCCUUGUGCAAUUAAGUUCGCCUAAGCGAAAUCAAUCCAUCCAACACAACCCAACAUCCGAUUCGACCAGCACUAGCAAUCUAAUGAUCCUAAAAGCAGCAGCAAAGUCAAGUUAGUUAUACAUAUAAAUUUACAAUAAUAAAUACAAAAAUCGCUUUAACAGGUCCCGUCCAAAUCAUGCAUAAGUUAACUAAAACUUUAGUAACUAUAACGGCGAAGUACACGCUUGUUUGCAUCUCAGUCAACCAAAAAAUAAAGCUCCGAAAGUCCACCUUUGGUCCGAAGGUUACAAGAUUUAGUUGUAUGUGCAUAUGUUGCCAACCAAUUAGCUACAUUUGUUUCCCUCCCUAAAAAUAAAAAAAAUAUGAGAGAAUUUAUAGUCAUCAAAACAAGGGAUCAACUCUUUAAUCUUUCUUAUCAGGGUCAAAAAUGGUCCAUGGUGAGAGAAUAUCUCGUAGCACAUCAUUCACAAUGAUUAUUGAAUCAGUUUUAAUGUACAACUCUGUAUGCUUGGUGUAAUAAUAAUAAUAAUAAUAAUAAUAAUAAUAAUAAUAAUAAUAAUAAUAAUAAUAAUAAUAAUAAUAAUCUCAAUAGAGACUAUUCUUUUCAGCCAUAUACCUAUAACUAAAAAAUAUAUAAUUAUGAAUUAUCAUCGUUUGCAACAAACCAAAGACCACUAUUAGAGUCAUGGUUUCAAACCCAAAAUCUAAUCCUCUCCUCAAAUAAGUUCAGAUUUUAUGUUGUUCCAAAGGAAUUUCUAAGUUCACCAACCAAUUUUUGUAUGACUUGACUUAAUAUUAUGAGGAGCUUUGUCCUAAAUCAUAAAAGAUGGAAUUGUAUGACUACCUAAGCCAAUGAUCCUAAGAGAUUGAUUUGGGAAAGCAACUAAUUGUAUGACUACCUAAGCCAAUGAUCCUUUUCGAUCACCUUUUAAUUAAUAUUUAAAAUAAUUAUUUUAUCAUUAGUAAAAUUAAUAAUUCCACAAAAACCAAUGAUAUUAAGAUAAAAUAAAAUUAAAUAUUUACUUUCAUGAUUAUAAUAAUAUGAAUUUUUCUAGCCAUUCAUGUCGACGACCGCAAACAAGAACGUAGCCGAGUCAACAGGACAUUAACCAACGCUGACGGAUUCAAAACAAGAUAGCGGGAAACAAAUCCAACAGCUUUAUCCAUCACUCGUUCUUCCCAGUUUCUCUCAAUCUCUAUCUCCCAUCUAUUACUAAAUCAAUCAGAGACCAUACAUCACACCUUUUUUCACCUUUAAACCUGUUUUGACUCGGUGUUCGCAAUGGACGUGAGGAGUUAAUGGCUGCAGCAACACAAAUUCAACGAUCUUUCUUCAAUUCUUAGAUAACUACUUUACUAGCCAUUAAGUAGUAACACAAAUUCAACAUCAGUGGGUCACAUCAAUGAUCAAGAUGGGAAAGGUUGGGGUCCUCCUCACAGACAAUGCAGGGGGGGAGAUCAUAAGCAACUGUGAUUUGCUUGACUCGGUGUUUAAAAUGAAUGUUAGGAGUUAAUGGCCAACACAAAUUCAACAACGUUUUAACUACUUUACUAGGCAUUUUGAGAGAGCAAGAAAAACCUAGUCAAGCAAGACAGAGAAAUCAUAUAUUGCUCAGCCUGUACUAUCAUCUUUAAGUUGAUAAGUAGAUUAAUCAUAGAUUAUGUCAUAUAGUUAAUUAUGAUUAGUAUCCUGUUGGUUUAAAAAAUAGUAUUAGGAUUCUUAUUAAUUAUCAAAGUGAAACAUUUAAUCUCAUUUUUUUAAAAAUUAUUUAAAAAAUUAAAAAUAUUUUUUUAUUAUUUUUUAAAAAUAAUUUCGUCCUUUUCCCUCUCGUUAUCUUCUUCUUCUUCUUCUUCUUCUUGCACCGUCGUGGCUGCAGGUUGAGGACCAACCAUGUACACCACACGACACACUGAAUUGUAAGGAAGAAAAGCAACAGCGAGUGUUGUGCGUAGGCAAAACCACCGAAGCAAAGCGGAACCAUAUGGGCAGGUGGCUCAGAAAUCCACAGAAGAACGUGAUUCUUCUUUCUUUUUUGGAGAGAGAGAGUUUGAGAGGAACUCUUUUCCCUUUCUUUUUCCUUUUUCUUUUUCUUCUGAAAUAAAAUAAAUCAGCCGAGUUAUGCGAUGGCUUACGUUAAUCGACAACACCUCCAGUUCGUCCAGACAACUCGUUCUUGAGGGUGCAGGAAAAGCUCCAUGUGACUGUGUGGGUAGAUCAGUAGCUCUUCAGUUGAUGUCCUUUGUCUCUCAUCAUCCUUGCGCAAGGAGAAUGCAGAAUCCCAUGCGGUUGAGGACCGAGGACUGUAGCCGUGGUUCAGGGGGAAAAUUUAUUUUUUUUUAUCUUUUUCAUUUGUGUCAAUUUUGCCUGAUGAGUAGCAUGAUUAUCUUAAGAGCCAUACAGAUAGUAAUGAACAUGAAAAGCCAAAAAAUUAGAUCAUAGCAUCACCAAAGCUGUAGCUAGCUUUUGCAUCCCUCGAUCCUUCCACAAAUGUCAUGGAACCUUGCUCACUAUACUCGCUACACGCCACUUGAUAUAUCUAACUGGAAGAUUCCCAAUCAUAAGAACGAAAGAUGUAGAGUAAUGAAGUAAGAAGCAAAGAAGUGGCCAUGCAGAGGCGAGCUGUCGCACUCAUGAGGCUCACUCUAUAUAAGUGCUCCAAGUCCCUAGUAGCUUCAGCAUCACAGAGCCAACACAUCUUUGAUUUCUGAGAUGGCCUCUAAGACUCUCUCGAUGCUCUUGGCCUCUAUGGCCCUCUCCCUUCUACUCACAGGGUCAGCAGAGGAACAGGGCUUGAGUCUUGGUUACUACAGCAAGACGUGUCCUAAUGCCGAAGCUAUCGUGUUCGAGGAGAUGGCCAAAGUCAUCAGAGUCGCACCAAGCCUUGCUGGUCCUCUCCUGAGGAUGCACUUCCAUGAUUGUUUCGUAAGGGUAAUGUCAACUUUGAGCUAUCAUCGAAACAUCGAAAAUGUGUUUUGCCUAAACUUUUCAGCAUGCAGGGAUGUGAUGGGUCAGUCUUGUUGAACUCCACGAAGGGAAAUGUAGCUGAGAAGGACGCACAUCCCAACCUCUCACUCAGAGGCUAUGGUGUCAUUGACAGAGUGAAGGCUAAACUGGAGAAAGCUUGCCCCGGGAUCGUCUCCUGCGCUGAUAUCCUAGCUUUGAUCGCCAGGGAUGUGGUGGUUUUGGUACGAUAACCUGCAUCCUUUUCUAUAACCGAUAUACGGUAAACCUCAAGGGAUUUGUUUAGCUGAUGGCCUUCUUUCCUCAGAGCAAAGGACCCUAUUGGCCUGUGCCGACUGGCCGAAGGGAUGGCUUUGUGUCCAUGGCCAACGAGACCAAACAGCUGCCACCACCCACCGCCAACAUCACUACGCUGAUCUCAAUGUUUGCUUCCAAAGGAUUGAGCGUGAAGGACCUUGUUGUUCUAUCAGGUGCAUUCUCUCUCUUCAACUUAAGAGAUCGGACUUCAGAUGGUUUGCUACAGAGAUCUGAAGUUUUCAGGUUUGCCAAUUAGGUGGGCACACGAUCGGGAUCUCGCACUGCUCAUCCUUCAGUUNNNNNNNNNNNNNNNNNNNNUUCCGAGUCGCAAUUCUUCAAGGACUUCGGGGACUCCAUGAUCAACAUGGGGAAUGUUGGUGUCCUCACUGGCUCAGCAGGUGAGGUCAGGAAGAAAUGUUCGGUUGUCAACUAGAGGGUACGAACUUUCUCGAUCAGCAAUCGAAGAGACUUAGGAAGCAACUUUUACGCUGUGUGUUUGACUACCAAAAUGAUUCGUGGUUUGGUAGCUUGUCAUAUGUGAAGUCUGCUGUGAUUCUUUGUAACUCUCUGUAUCCUACUCAUACUUUUCGGAAUAACUGGUAGAACUCUACCAGCGAAGUUCAUAUCUUUCAAUAAAUAAGUUGAUAUUUCCAGAGUCCUUUUUUCUUGUGUUCUCGUUUUAUAAUUUCCUGGGGAUUCUCCAUGAAUAUUCGUCUCAAAAGUCUGAAUGUCCCAAAGAAUUCUAUAUAAUUUCCUGGGUAAAUACGAUUUUUGUAAGAUUCUGAGCUUGUCCUGUUCAAACAAGUCCAGUCAAAGUGUGGAGUUCUCCUCGACACCUAAGUCAAGAUUCUUUUGGUUGGAUCCGGUGACCAAAAUUGACGGCUCCGCUCAGCAAUCUCUUGCCUAUUUGCGUAUUUACGAUGCCUAAAUAAUGAGGUUUAAUUAAGAAAUUGGUUCUUCAGUAUGAUUUGACGCAUGCUGUGGUUGUUAUGUAAUGGUGUUAGAAGCACAAAUACAAUGCGAUAAUAAUUUCGUGACACUUCGAAUAUUAAGUGGUUUCAUUGAGAUAGCAGGAAUGGACGCGGUCUUGCCUAUUUGAGUAAGUCCAAAUCAACAAUGGACGCGGUCCAAAACAGCAACCUCUCCGACCGCAACAUUAACCAACGCUGAUGGAUUCAAAGCAAGAUAGCAGGAAUAUAAUAUGCACUAACCAAUCCAACAGCUUUAUCCAUCACUCAUUCUUCCCGGUUUCUCUCAAUCUCUAUCUCCCAUCUAUUACUAAAUCAAUCAGAGACCAUACAUCACACCUUUUUUCACCUUUAAACCUGUUUUGACUCGGUGUUCGCAAUGGACGUGAAGAGUUAAUGGCUGAGCAACACAGAUUCAACAAUCUUUCAUCAAUUUUUAGAUAACUACUUUACUAGCCAUUAAGUAUUAACACAAAUUCAACAUCAGUGGGUCACUUCAAUGAUCAAGAUGGGAAAGAUUGAUUGUGGUCCUCACAGGCAAUGCAGGGGAGAUCAUAAGCAACUGUGAUUUGGUUAACUAAUAGGUUCUUGAAUGUUUUACUUGUAAGAGGUCGCACAUGUUAAGUACUAAUCAUUGUCCGAUUGAGCAUAUCAAUGCCAACUCGUAAUUCAUUAUAUUUAUAUGAAAUAAAACAAAGGGUUUAGUCAAGUAAAUUAGUUGAUCUCACUACAUCAUUCCUUAUAAUCCUUCUUCCUUUUUCAAGAUGCCGAAACAAAACAUCCAUAAUGAUUCUUUAAUCAGUAUCAAUUUACAUUUUAGGUAUGCCAUGUUACCUUGUAGUCUGCAUCACACAAAAAACUGGAUAUGGCUGGUGUCGCCGGAACAGUAGUUGGGCGGCGGAUGUGCAAUUAUUGGAUUGCUCCGGGAAUGAAGGAAGAGAAUUAUGUUUGUUUCACAUGUCAAAAUAAUGCAUCUAUUAUCUGACAGAUCAUUGCAACCAACCUAAGGCUGAUAAAAUUGACAUUGCAACUGCUAAAUCCAGUCCUAGAUUACGAAAAUAAAAAAAUAUAAUUAUGAAAAUGGAUUAAAACCAUAUUUUCAUUUUAUUAAAUGGGUCGUAAUAUUUCAACAUCAAUUACAUUAGCAUAAUUCCUAAUCGGUCAGUAUAUAAUUUUUUAAUCUUAAUUGGAAAAAUGGAAGUUGCUUCAUUAUUCAUAUUUAGGAGGAUAGCUAAAUUUUUCCAUUAGUUUUGAAUUCAUCUGGUAUUUACCAAAGGAAACUCAUAUAAUAACCAACCCUCAGUAAAAUUGUCCCACACCCAUGAACAUCAAUGUGCAGACACAAUCCACAAGUACGAGAUUGCUCGAAUGACGCUACAUUCACUUCACACGAGUACGUCUUACAUCACCACUGACAGACGAACACACUUGCUAAAAGAACGAAAACUGGCUGUACCGCGCACGCACGCAAUGCACGCAAGUAACACUCGCACAUGCACACGCACACGGGCACAUAAACGCGCUGGCACACACAAACUAGCGCUUACAGACACGCACACGGGCAGAUGCACGCGCUAGCACACACAAACUCGCGCUUAUCGACACAUACCCACACACAAACUAGCGCUUAUUGACACACCCACACACAGGAGAAUGCUGAAUGCAUCAGACAAUCAACUAAAGUAUGCAGCUGGCGCCUCUUCCAAGUAUGCCUGCAUGGGAAAGUAACGCCCACAGAUGCGUGAUGAACUCCCCACCUCUUGCAAGACCCUCCGCAUGAGCUUUUGCAUUGUCUGAUGGAGCAAGGAACAGGAUCAUCUCCACCCAAAAUUCCGCCAUCACCUUCCAUCGCAUCUCUGGCGUCUCCAUGUCUAUCAACUGCUUUCCCAGUCUCGCACCCCUACAAACGACAUUCUGAGAAGUGUCACUUUGGUUCAUCAUACUUUGAAACCUUUGGUCCAAGUUCAAUGUCCCGAGUUGCGAGGAAGCUUCCUUUACUGCGUCAUCAAAGAUCAACUGAACAUCAAAACUGUUGUCCGGUAGAAGAUCUGGGACAAACCCUACCAAGUAUGCACAAUAUUGCGAUAAACUGUUAGCAACGACUUGGUUAUCCUUCAUCUCCAUCGAGGUAACGUUUGCGCGCUCCACUCGGGAUCCGUGGAUCUCACACUGAGAAGUGGCUAUAUGCCAAACCAAUAUUACCUGCGCGUGAGUUUCAAGAUUGCAUGCCCAUGAAAGCUGUGCGCUCACUCCAUUUCGUUGCAGAGACGAAAUUCCGUUGGUCGGCAGGGCGUCAUGGUUGAGUCUGAGCCAACGGACGACUGCUUUCUUUACCUCCCUUGGCAGCUUUAAUCGCUUGCUUUGUUUUUGGCCAGCUCUGGUCUUCCCAACCAUUUCACAUGUCAUGCAAUAUAACAUGUUCUUAGCUGUUGGCUUAUAAUCACAAUGUUCAAGAAGCGAAUACUGACCCAGCUUAUUCUGCAAAACCCUGUCGAAAACCUUUAGAUGGCAAAGAUGUUUUAUCAUUUCUGUGAUCCAUGGCUUAUCAUGCCAUGAAGGAUGAGCAACGUAUCUACAAACGAGAGAUACUUUGGCCCACUCCGAGCACACAUAGAGCAAGAUCUGGAACAGUUCCAGCAAAGCAAUGGCUACUACAAUUAUCAAGGUGAAAAUUGCAUCGAAGCUCUUCCUUCCGAUUGUGAUAAGGUUGAAGUAAGUGGUAGGGGAUAGAUAAUACUUCAUGACUGACACUCCGGACCAACAUAGAAAUAUCAGAAGUGUAGCUGACAUGGCUAGCAUGAAUUUCUCACUAACAAAUAUCAAAGGAUACUUUGUAUAGAAAUAAUCAUGAAGGAAAGCCAGCUCUACCUCGAUCACCCUGAAGGCUCUUUCAUGAGCAUCAUCAUCGUUGGAGAGCAAUCCCCGAAUCACGAAGUCCCUGGUCUUUUGGAGGCUGCUCUCAGCAAGUUGAUAGCCGGAAAAUCUACGCUGAAUUAGCUUGAACAGGGCAAACGAAAGACAAAUGUCUUUCAAACGCCCUUCUGGAUCUCCGCUCGAGCUCAGCAGACCUCCAGUGCACCGCCAGAUUUUGUUGACGGUGAUAACCUGACGAUCAGUUAUUUCUAUUCGGAGUAGGCAGUUAGGAGCUUCAUAAAUAAGACCAACUUGAUCUUCUCCAUAAACCAGAUAAUUGUAUCCUCUCAUGUUCGUGGGAUCGGGUUCAUCUUGCGGCGUCAAUUCGGACUCGUAUUUCAUGUAGGCUGCGAUUAAUUUGCUUUUCUUCUGCCCGUUUGUUUUGGUGGCCCCUUGAAAUACAUCUGUCCGUUCACCGACUCUGAUACCCGUCAGAAUCAAAAGUACAACAACCGGGAUUCUGAAGCUGGAGUGGGUGUGCCCGAGAUAUGUGCCCACCAAGUAACCAAUAAUAAACAAGUGCGUAAUAUUUUCUGCAAAAUUCUUUUUCCAAUUUUCAUUGUCUUCAAGGCCAUAAGCUGAAAUAGAGAUGGCGCUUCCGAGUACCAAGGACAAGCAAAUGGCCCAUAUCGCAAGCAAUCCAUUAUUGAUGCCAGAGGAUUGCAUUUGUCCAACGGUGUAGAACACCAAGAAGGUGGAGCACGUGUAAGCAACCGAGACGACGGCUUGGAUGACGGUGUUGCUGGACCGGCGCCGGAACGAACCAAAGAUGAUCAGCAGAAACAGAAGGACAGUCGCCAACAGAACCAGGGCUUCGAGACGGAUGAGUUUGGCCUUCGGGGAGUACAAGUUAUCAAGCAUUGCGGGAAGGGGAGUCUGACAAUCACCGAGCACCGUCUUUUCUUUGGUUUCUCCUUACUUGAGCUAUCCAGUUUGGUGGGAGCAACUGCCUGUUAUAUUGUGAGGUUAAGCUACAACGAUAACGUGUGAAACAACAAAUAAUAAUAAUAGCGUACACAUAAAACUCUAAUAGUAAUAAACAAAUUAUGGAUAUCUUGGAAAAAUGAUUAAUGAUGAGGAAAUGACUCCCAUCAGAAAACCUUUGGACGUUUCUGGAUUUUUUAAUGAUGAGGAAACAAAGUUUCUUGUCAGGACUUUGUAAGAAUUACUUGAAGGUGGAAACAGAGUUUCUUGUCAGGAAACAAAGUUUCUCCAUCUCAUUUUUCUGAUACAGUGACGAUUCCAUAAGAACAUGCUUAGGUAUUUCAACGAUUCCAUAAGAUUUUUGUGCUUCAAAAAAAAAAAAUUUGAAAUUUUCACCAAAAGUAAACAAAUAGUGACAACACAAUAGUCCCAAAGUCAUGUUUGAAAUGAUAAAUCUUAAUUUUAGUUUUUGUUCAUAUUUAAAUCUCAACUAUGCAUCAUUGACAUAAUUUUUUCAUCCCUUUUGUGGCGCUAAUCUUAGAUAAACCUUAGGUGAAGUAAUAAAGAAAGAAAACUGAGAUCACAUUGCAUGCAACUUAGAAGCUCAUAUUGGUACACAUUGGUAAAUAAGCAAGCCAGGUUCUUUUUUUUUCUUUUUUUAUUAUAUCUAAACACAUCCCGAGAAGAAAUAGAUAAAGAUUAAAAUAAUAAUAAAAACUAUGAAAAAAUUAAUUACUCUUAAUAUAGCUACAUAUCUCAAUGAUGAUAAAGGAUCAUCGAUCUCAAAUAGCUGCAACUUUAUGAUUUUAUAGUUGUCAAGCAUAACCACAACAAAUGGGUUUUCCUAUACUACGCUACGCAGCAUAUGUGCUAAAACAGUUAAUGUAAACAAAAGUUCUUUUUUCCCUUAAUCUAAAGCAAUGAAAUCGAUCUAAAUGAACAAUGGAAAGCUUUGUUGUAAUAAUCACAAAGCUAAUGGAAAAACUUAGUUUUAAUAAUUAAUCUUGUCGUAGCAUGAGGAGCAAUAGACUACUAAUAAGUCCGAGCUUUGUUUUAUGCACCAAUUAGUGCCGAGGUUAGCUAACAUAUAAGCUAUGUAGAGAUUCUGUUCCUCCAGCCAAUAAAGCACAAAAUGAAAAAACUUUCCAGUAUUACAAACUAAAAAAUUUUAGUCCAUUUUGGAUUAGUUCAGUGCUCAGCUUUCCACGAUAGUUCAUGCAAGUGCAUUCCUUUCCUAGCCCGGCCUAAAAAGCUGCUAAAUAUAAAACACAGUUUUCUAUAAAUUCAUCACUUAAGAUGGACGAGAUAAAUAAAAUAAAUCAUAUCAUCCUACCUUUGUAAGCAAAGUGCGAUAACACAAUAAAGAUCUAAUGUAAAAUAAAUUUAAGAUAUUAAUUUUGAAAUAGAUUCUAAUAUCAAUUUUAAGAAUAAAAAUUAUAGUUAUGUUAUUAUGUGAAAAACUUCAAUGUUAGAAAUCAAAAUCAAAUAAUCAUAUAUUAAAGAUUAUGGUUGCGUACCUUUAGAUUUCAUUCAGAACAUAUUUCUUCUGAUGCAUAAAUACUCGAAGCAACGAGAUCGAUAUAUAAGGAAUAGGGACUAAGAAUGGAGAUUGAGAACAUAUUGUACUCUAAAUUUUUGUAGUUCAUCGACAAGAGGUCAUCUCCUUUUAUAGGUGAGACAUAAGGGUCUACGAUGAUGAUUAGAAAAAAUUUCUCUCAUCAUCUUCUAAGGAAUCCCAUCAUAAGUUGAUUUUCUUUCUAUUGGUCACUAAUCAUAAUUAGAAUCCAAUUACAUAUAUAUUAUAUCUUAUUUAAUUAAAUAGAGUUAUAUAAUUUAACAAUCAGUGCAUAUAAAUUUGUAAAUCAAAUCAAAUUACGUGUAUUAUAUUUCGAAUGAGUGUUAUUUUUCUUAGCCAUGUGUCGACUCUGCAAAAAAGAAUAAAGCUAACUCAAUCAUAUCUAUAAUUUAUCUUACCUAAUUAAAUAGAAUCAUAUAAUUUAAUAAUUGAUGUAUAUAUAUUCGUAAGUUAAAUCAAAUUACGUAUGUUACACGUCGUAACAUACAAAUAUCUUACAAGUCAAAUCGAAUGAGUAUCAUUUUUCGUAGCCAUGCAUGUCGACUCCCACAAACAACAAUGAAGUUAACUCAAUCAUAUCUAUAAUAUAUCUUACGUGAUUAAAUAUAGACUACAAAAUUUAACAAUCGGUACGUAUAGAUUUGUAGGUCAAAUCAAAUUAUGUAUGUUGCAGGACGAAUGGGCCUCAUUUCUCCUAUGUGUGUCAGACCUCGUAAAUAAGAAUGAAGCCAAACUCAAUCAAAUCAUGUAUGUGACGGGACGAUGGCGCUUCCGAGUACCAAGAACAAGCAAAUGGCCCUAGCGCAAUCAAUCCAUUCUUGAAGCCAGAGGAUUGCAUUAGUCCAACGGUGUAGAUCACCAAGUCGGUGGAGCACGUGUAAGCAACCCAGACGACGGCUUGGAUGACGGUGUUGCUGGACUGGCGCCGGAACGAACCGAAGAUGAUCAGCAGAAACAGAAGGACAGUCCCCAACAGAACCAGGACUUCGAUCGAUAAGGAUGAGUUUGCCCUUCGGGGAGUUCAAGCCAUGAAGCAUUGCGGGAAAGGGAGUAUGACAAUCACCGAGCACCAUGUUUUCUUCGGCUUCUCCUUACUUGAGCUAUCCAGUUUGGUGGGAGCAACUGCCUGUUAUAUUGUGAGGUUAAGCUACAUCGAUAACGUGUGAAACACCAAAUAAUAAUAAUAAUAAUAAUAAUAAUAGCGUACACAUAAACUCUAAUAGUAAUAAAUAAAUUAUGGAUAGCUUGGAAAAAUGAUUACAGUGUCGAUCAAGAAGUCUUGUACGCGAGACAUUUCAACUUCCACAAUUUUUUUAAUCCCAUUUAUCUAUCUUAAAGCAAUCAAACUUUCAUAUCUAUAUACCCUUGCAGUUAAGACAUGCUUUUUUGCAGCAAGUUAACUUUCAUAAGAAAUGACUCGCAUCAGAAAACCAUUGGAAGUUUCUGACAGGACUUUGUAAGAAUUACUUGAAGGUGGAAUCUUAUGAUAUCAUGCCAAAAACCUAACACGUUUGACUUGGGUUAUAGGUGAUAUCUGCGUACUUCCAAUAUGUGGGCGUGCGUGCUAUCUCUGAUCUUUGCUUCAUAUAUAAUCUUAAUCAAGUGCUUGAGGUAGCAGAUUCAGCUCCCACAUAUCCAUUUCCCUGGACAGUUAUUGCACAGUAACGAAAUAAAGAUUCUAAGGUGCCUAUCUCUGUGUAUAGAAUCUUCAUAAGAAAAUUCUCCGGUGACUUUUCAGCUGUGUGCAGGCGACCUCAUUGUUGUUUAUCAUAAGAUCAUUCCGCUUAAAACGAUAGCGGUGUUCUUUCAGAGUUCAUCUCAUUUUUCUGAUACAGUGACGAUUGCAUGAGAACAUGCUUAGGUAUUUCAAUGAUUCCACAAGAUUUUUGUGCUUAAAAAAAAUUGAAGAUCUCAAGAAAAGUAAACGAAUAGUGACGACACAAUAAUCUGGUAGCCGAAAUGAUAAAUCAUAAAUUUGUUUUCAUACAUAUUUAAAUCUCAAUAUGCAUUGUUGAUAUGUCCUUUUCAUCCCUAUUGUGUCGCUAAUCCUCGAUAAAUUUUACAUGAAGAAAGAAAGAAAGAAAUCGAAAAUCACAUUGUAUACAACUUAGAAGCUCCUAUUGCGUAUACAUAGCUAAAUAAGUAAGCUUUAUUAUUAUUAUUAUUAUUAUAUCUAAAUAUAUCCUUUUAGUGAUACGAGAAGAGAUAGAUAAAAAAAAAUUAAUAGAAACUAUAAAUAAAGAUUUAAGCACUCUUAAUAUAAUUAAUUAAAACUUUAUGAUUUUAUUGUUGUAAGUAUAACCACUGCGCAGCAUAUGUGCUCUGACAGUUAACAUAAAAAAAGUUCUUUUUUCCCUUAAUCUAAAGCUAUGAAAUCGAUUUAGAUGAACAAUGGAAAGGUUUGUUGUAAAGAUCAAAAUGCUAAUGAAAAAUCUUAGUUUUAAUAAUCAUGUCGUAGCACGACGAGCAAUAGACUGAUGGGGAUAAAAAGAGGAAUAACCUUUGUAUAGGAACAAAUACUAGAAGACCAAAAUACGCAGUGGAAUAAAAUGGAAACACAAUCAAACAGAACACCAAGAUAUACGUGGAAAACCCCUUCAAUGUGAAGGGUAAAAACCACGGGGCAAACUAGAGAUAAUCCACUAUGAGAAUAAUGAAUAUACAAAUCUCAAUCUCNNNNNNNNNNNNNNNNNNNNUUGGCCAAAACCCUAGCAACAACCACAAGAGAAUAACUGGGAUACAAGGAUCACGUCACUGCCCACAAUAUCUAAAACCUCCCCAAGUAAUCACAGCAAGAGUCUACUGUAGAUUUGAUCUAACCUAAGAUGAGAACACUGCUAGAUGAUUGUGAACAAUCUCUCUGCGUUGUCCUUGUCUUCUUCCCUUUCUUUCUCUUCCUUUUCUGCCUUGAUCUCCUUCUUCUCUUUGGAAUCCCGUGGCCUCAAAGAUCUGCCUCGUUGCUGCCUUUUUAUAACCUUAAUCUACCUCUAAAACGCAGCCACCACAUCGAAUGAUUUUUUAUCUUUUUCUUGUCCUAGAUUUCAUUUCUAUUUUUCUUAAUUGAUUCAAUCCGUUGAAUUGAGAGGUGACAUAUAACAACUUAUAUCUUUCUAUACAAAAAAUUGGAAACUUGGAACCUGUACUAUCCCACCUCCUCAGAAAUAAAUAAGAAGAAUCGAGUUAUUUCAUUAGAGUUAGAAUGAAAGAUUCAUUCUAUUUCGGACCAAUCUCCACUCAACGGUAGAGUACUCGGCUUUUAAGUGCGACUAUGAUCUUUUACACAUUUUGAUGAAGCAACAAAUUCGUCCAGACUAUUGGUAGAGUCUAUAAGACCACGACUGAUCCUCAAGGGUAAUGAAUGGAAAAAGUAGCAUGUCGUAAUAAAAAAAAUUUCUUAUUUUAUUAAAUAUUUUAUUAAAAAAUUACAAAUUCAAAUGAAAGUGGAACUUUAAAGAUCUACCUAGUUGCUGUCUUUUUAUAACCUUAAUCUACCUCUAAAACGCAGCCACCACACCCCCCUAAUCUUAAUUAGGGUUAGGUUAAGAGAGGG